AAGCGAAAUCUCACUGCCCCGAACCAAACUCAAAACCCUAACAAACCAAAAACAGUUGCUGCCAUAUUCACCAAUGGCUUUCUCCAAGGCAAUGUUUCUCGCCGCCGUAAUGUCGGUGCUCGUCGCCGUCAUCUCCGCCGCCGAAGCUCCAGCUCCGAGCCCUACGUCUCCCGCCGCCGCCGUUUCGCCGUCCUUCGUCGCCGGUGUUCUCGCCGCCGGAGCCGCUCUUGCGUUCGGAUCUGCUCUGCGGAUCUGAACGUAGCUCAUGGAUUUUCUCGUUUACAUGCGUGGAUUUUUAGUAGAAGCGGAGAUUUGAGCAGCAUUAGUAUAUAACUCUCUCUCUCUCUCUCCCUCCCUCUCUCUCUAUAUAUAUUGAUAUUGCUAUGUAGAGAUUAUUACUACAUAUGUUGAUUUCUGGAUCUAUAUUGCGUUUAUGGUUUGAGUAGUAUUAUUGUGAGAUCAUUGUUUCUAGUACAUAAUUGAUUUCUUUAUAUUCAGAUUCGUGCUUAGUUUUUGUUUUAGCUUGAUUUCUUUGUUUUACUUUUUGCUUUCUUUUUCUAAAAUUAUCUUGUGGAGUUUGCUGUGAAUGCUGCUUAAAUUUUUGUCGCGAUGAAUUUGGUUUGACGUAGAUUGGAACUGAAAUGUCUCUGAAAAUCUUUGUAGCGAUUCAAAGUUUGUUGAAACGAAAUGAAACCGUUGGAUCCGUGUAAUUGUACUCGCGCAACGAUUUUGUGUUUAUAUUGGCUAACAAAAUUAUAAUUAUUUUGGCACAAGAAUUAAAAUUAGAGUAUCACUUCCAUAAUACGGAAUUUUUAGUUUUUAUUUUAAAGUAGUUUAUUUAUUUCAUAUCAAAAAGUAUUUUUAAAUUUUAAUAACUGAAUUAAUUUGAAUGUGAUAUCGAUUCGAUUAUUAUUUUUUGAGAAAAAAAAAUUGAGCAUUCAAAUAGUUAAUUGAUAUUCCUAUUUUAUAUUUUAUAUACGAUUCUACUUAAGAAACAGGAUGAACCAAGGAAGCAUGGUUCCUAUACCCAAUAACACGUUUUUUUGCAAAGAUGACGAUAAUUAAUUAUUUGGCACUUAGCAGUAUCUUCUGAAUUACGUCUUCUGGAAUAGAGUAGAAUGAAUUAAGUGGUCACUUUUUUCUUAGGUGUUCUUAAAUGCCUUUUGAAAUUGUACCUUUCGACCUUUAUCUUUUGGUAAAUUCCGUGCGAGCCUGCCCAUUCCUUAACGGAAGCUUGUCAAUUACUACACACCAAGAAUAAUUCUAAAUUCAUGUUGUUACGACUUUUUUUUUAUGACUUUAAAGUCAUAAUUUUUUAUUUUAUUAUUUUUUUUAACUGAAGUUUAAAAAUGAUUUAAACCUGUUUUUUUAAAGCUUUUUUUAAAUUUGUAAUUGUUUAUGGUUUUAUUUUUAUUUUCAAUUUUUUUAAAAUUUAAAUAUAUAAUAAAUAAUAUUAAGUUGUUUUUUUUAUUAGUAUAUUUUUUAUGAUUUUAUUUGAUAUGUUAUUAAUUUAUUUUAAUAUUUUAUUAUUUAAAACAUGUUAUACAUAUGAGAUAUUAAAAAUUGUGAAAUAAUAUAUUUGCUUUAUUAAAAAAAAUUAAAAUUAUUUUCUCCAAUUUUUUAUUAAAACAAUUUUUAUAAUUUGUUAAUAUUGAGAAAAUUAUAGUAUAAUUUUUUAGUUAUAUGCAUAUGUUUUUUUAGCUAAAUUUAUGUUUACUAAGGUUUAGAGUAAUGUUAUGUAUGUGUGGUUGCUAUUCACUUUACAACGCAUGCACACUUAGUGGUGAAAUUUGUCACAAUUGUUUGUUUAUAUAGUAUAAUAUUUUUCUAUAAAUAAAUUGUUAAAUAAAAAGUAUUAUCAUUUAAAAAAAUCUAAUGACAUAAACAAACAAAUUAUAUUUAAUAAUAUAGUAAUAUUAAAAGUAAAAAAUCGAGUCCAAUAAAAUGAGAGAUCGAAACUCAUAUCUAUAAGAAAUAUGUAAUUUUAUUUAAAUAUAAUUAAUUUUUAAAAUAAAGUCUUUCAAAUUUUUAAUAUCUCAUAUAUAUAACAUGUUUUAAAUAAUAAAACAUUAAAAUAAAUUAAUAACAUAUCAAAUAAAAUCAUAAAUAAAUAUACUAAUAAAUAAGUCAACUUAAUACUAUUUAUUAUAUAUUUAAAUAUUUUUUUAAAAUAAAAUUAAAAUCAUAAACAAUUGUAAAUUAAAAUAAACAUGUUUAUGACUCCAAAUUAAUUAACCUUAAAAAAAGUUAAAAAAAAAAGAUUUUACGACUUUAAAGUCAUAAGAUAAAAAAGAGUUUUUAACUAAUGUUGUAAAUAAUUUUAUGACUUUAAUUAAAAAAUAAAAAUUACGACUUUAAAGUCAUAAAAAAAACUUUUGAACUGAAGUCAUACAUAAUUUUACGACUUCAGAUAAAAAAAAAUAAUAAUAAUAAAAAUUCAUAACAACCGUUAUGACGUCUAGUUCAUAAGUCGUACCAGGUGUUACGACUUACCUUCUAUUGAGUAAUUUUUUAUAAUAUACCCGAUUAAAAAAUUAGAUAAAAUUUUACCUCUAUUUGAGAAAAAAGCCAAUCAAAACAUAAGGGAUUUACUGUGAAUAUUUUAGAGCAUAUUAAAUUAGUUUUGAUGAUUUUCAUCAUAUCCUAUUACAUUUAAGAUACUUAUAUAUAACUUUGCAUCCAUGAUAAAAAAAAAUAUAGGUUAAAUUAGGUUAUAGGUUUUUAUAUUAUUAUAAAAAAUUUAAUUAAAUCUUUAUAUUAAUUUGUUAUAUUAAUUUAUUGUGAGAAAUCUAUUAAACAUGAAAUAUUUCUUCAUAUAGAGGUUCAAACCUUAAACCAAAAACUGCCACACAGGUGAUAGAUUAAACAAGUUGUAUUGAGGCACCUUAAAUUAAAAAGUAUGCGUGUAUGAUAGAAUAUUUUGUAAAGUCUAACAAAUUACAUAUUUAAAACCAAUAUAGAGACUCAAUUAAAAAAAAUAUAUAAGAACUUAAUUAUUUUUUUUAAUUGUACGAGGACCUAUAUACUAAUUUAACCCUAAAAAAAUCAAACAAUUAUUUUUUUUUUAUAUUUUUUAUUUCACUUAAUUAUGUUUCCAUCUUUUUUUCUUGGAAUUUAGGCCUGAAAAAUUAAAUUUUUAUCUUAAGUUUGAAAAUGAAUUAUUUAUAUAAGAUAUUUGAACCAAAACUUAAAAAACUCAGUGUCAACUAGACUUGGUCCAAUGCCAAAAAGAAAACAAGAAAUUAUUUUUUAUCCAAAAAAUUCCAUCAACCAUCUUCCCUUAGAGUGAAUAACAGCUAUUUUUAUUGUUCGAACGAGACGUUUAUAUGGUGGUACCCCUACAUUGUUAAUCUAAACUAGAUAAUAAUUUAUGCUUAUUAAAAGCUAAAUUGUGACACGUUGGACGUUAGGAACACAAUAUUGGCAUUAUUAUGAAUUGUAAAAAACAAUAUUGGCAUUUGGAAGUGAAGGCGGAAGAGAGACGUGGUGUCAUACUCAUUUCCCAUGAAGUGUUGGGUGUUGACAAGUUCGAAUAUAUUUAUCAUUUAAUCUGAUGUAAUUAUAUUAAGUUGAAUUUUAAGUUCUAUAAUUAAAUUUGAUUUAAUUUAAUUGACUUAAUUAUAAAUAGAUUGGAUAAAAAAAUUUAUUUUUUUAUUUUUUAAUCUGAUGUAACUCAUAUCAUAUAAUUAAAUUUAGUAUUAUAUAUAAAUUAAUUAUUAUAUAGGUUAAUUUUUAGUUCACAUAAUUUAUUAAAUUAUUAAAGUAUAUGAUUCAUAUUUUUUUUCUUUUUAAGAUGUUAUUUUUAUAUAUGUCUUGAUUUUAUUUAUGUUUUCUCAUACUAAUACUGUAUUUUUUAUUUAGAUAAAAAUAAAGUAUUAAAUUAACAUUGAAAUUAUUAAUUCUAUUAGUAAAAUAUUGUUACAAUUUAAUUUUUUUAAUACAUUUAUUCAUUAUAUAUUUUCAAAGCUUAAGGCAAAAGAAAUUAUUGUUCUAAUUUUUGUUUGCAAAAUAAAAAAUUUAGACAUGAUUAACUCAAUUGGAUGUUUUUUUGUCGAGUUUGUACAAAAAUUUGCACAAACAUGAUUCAACCCAUAAAUUUUGACGAGAUUGAGUAACAAAUUUAAUCAAAUUCAACCGUGAAUACACUUAUUCGAUAUAAGAUUGUGUCUGAAAUCAAAGCUAACAAAAAUCAAAUUCUCCAAAUACUUCAAUGAAUUGGGAAGUUAUUUUGAAAAUGGAAAGGGUUUAAGACAUAUUUAUUAAAUGUUGAAAAUGUUUUUUUAUUAUAUAUUUUUAACACUAUGUAUACAAUUUACAUAUUUUCAUUUAAUACUUUCUUGAUAAAUUAUUAAGAAAAUGUGUAAAUUCAUUUUGCUAAAAAUUAAACGUUUGGUGUACGUACCAAGAAGAAAAAGUACCCCAUAUGAAUAAUGAAUCAAUUCCUGAAAUUAUUCCAUGCUUCGCUGUCUUUAUAUGAUCACAAGAAGGAAUAACGGCAUCUCGCCCCUAAACCAACAAUAAUGUGUUUAACCAUUCUUUAAAAAGGGAAUCUCUUUGCUAUGAGAAACUAGAAAAAGAAAAGGUGUUAUAUAUAAAAAAAGUGAUUAUAAGAACAUUUUAAAAGUACAAACAUUUCUUUUGAUUCUUUUUACUUUUGCAAAAGUUGUUUCUUUAUUUUUAAAAACAACUCCAUAACUUGUCUUUGAAUUUUGAAGAGUGCAAUAACAGGGCAAUCUUUGCUACCUAUUCCAAUUGAUCGGCCAUUCAAAUUAGUGGACUAAGUUAGUUUGGAUAGUUAAUUAAGACCAACUCAUUCCAGAAAUAUAAGAUAAAUUUGAUAAUUAAAGAAGAAUAAAAAAAUCAUAAUAAAACUAACAUUCUAACAUAUUAAUAUUUAUAAAAAAGAAACAAAUCAAAUAAACUAAAGUCCAGUUCAUUACUUAACUCUGACAAAAAAAUCAAAUCAAAUCAAAAACUCAGUUGCCCCAUUUGUCUUUGAUAAUUGAUGCUUAACGGAACAAGUAGUGGUCUAUGGGUUGCCUCCGCAGGCACCAUCUGCAUCGAGUUUAUAAAAAUGAAUCCCUUUAAAGUUUAUUCUAGACAACCUCAAUUCCAUGUUCCUUUGUCUACCUAGAGCACCUGCCGUUACAUCUUAAAAUUUAAUGGCUUUACUGAGCAACACUGAAACCAGCAAACAUCUAUCAAGCUCAUAAUUUUACCUAAUUCACUAAUUCUAGGUUUUCCUACUUAUUUUAUAUGGUAAAUAUUUAAUGUUUCUUAUAUUUCUAAAAUAUUAAAUACAUUUACGUUUUUAUUUAUUCUUGUCUUAAAUGAUUCUAAUUUCGAGUUCAUAUAACAUAAAUGAAUUCUUCCAAUUGUGUAGUAAUAGUAAUUUAAGAGUUUUUAAUAGAAUUUGGUUUUAUAAUAAAUAACCAUAAAGUAUACAUCAGUAUUAAGCACUCCAUUCUGAUAUAAACAUUUUUUUAGCAAAUAUACAUUAUCCUUAAAAAAAAAGGGCACUUGUUUCGUUAACAUGGGAUUCAAGGUUCUGCUUAAUUACAAUUCAAUCAAUUAUAGAAAUUAUUUGUAUGACUUGUUCAUUUUCAUAAAGAUUUUAUUUAAAUACUAACGGUAUGCAAAGUCCGGUGCGCUAUGGAAGGUUGACUAAAAAAUAUGACCAAGUUGAAAAAUGAACAAAUCUUAUUUUUUUUACAGCGUCAUCAUUAAAAAAAUUCUUUUGAAAAAUUAAACCUUUGUAUUUUGGUGUGUAUUACUAAAUUGAUAACUAUUUUAAAUUAAAAUUCAAACCAUAGUUGUAAAACCCAGUUCGGUCCGGCCGAUCGAACUAGUUCAAUCUAAACUCACCAGAUCAGUUUCACUAUUGGACCAGUCACGCAAUUGACCCGGAAUGAUCCAAUCAAAUUCGACCAGUUAGGUACCGAAUCCCGAUUGAACCGGUCUGAUCAGACUGAUUUUACAAAAAUAAAAAAAAUGAAUCACCUCUACGAUGUCAUUUUGAUAUUUAAUUAUUAUCAAUUAUUAUUUCAAAUUUUGAAGUAUGGAUGAACUUUUUACUCAAAUAAUGUUAGUUAUACAUAUAUAAUUCUGAAUUUUUAAUAUAUAUCGAAUCAAACCGAGUCAAUUACUAAUCCACCGGUUAGACUACUGACCCACUACCUCGACCAAAUCAAUGAUCACACCGAAUUUCACAACUAUAAUUCAAACAAUAAGAGUGACUUUAAUCCCAAUAGUUCAAUGGGAGUUCAAGAACAACACAUGAUUUUGGCCAAUGCUUAACUAAAAAUCCAAUCUCAAUCAAUUAUUUUCUUGCAUCAUGCCUCCAAUACCACUAAUUUGUUAUCUUUACUUCCUCGAAAAUGGUUGGAUUUUUUUAGUUUGUUCUUCAAAGUGCAUGCAAUUAAAUCAAUAAUUUUUUAUUUUUUUUGCUUAUAUGCAUCAAGUUUCCUUUUUGAGUAUUGUAUCUAUUAUGUGCAUUAAACCACCUUUUUGAAUAGUCCCUUAUUUUAUUUUUUAUUUUAAAUUGGUCCCCUAAUUUUUAAGUUAUAAAAUACUCCUUUUGUUUAAUUCAUGACAAGUUAAUUCUUUAAAAAAUUGAUCAUUUUCAAUUUUUGAAUACGAUUUUGAACCUUUUUUUUAUGAAUUCAAGAUGUGAAACUUAUUUUAUUAUACUCUCUUAUAUAAAAAUUGUAAAAAUCAACUAAUGUUCGAAACAAAAAAGAUUAAAUGUAGUGAAAAAUGAGUCUCAUAAAUAAUAAGAAAAAAUAUAACAUUAGAUUUUUAGAUUUUCGAUUGAUCAUAAGACUCACUUUUUAUGUAUUUUUUAUUUUAUUUAUGUCUCUUUUUUAUUUAAAUAUCAAUUGAUUUUCAUUAUAUUCAUGUAGAUGAAUUUAAUAAGAUAAAUUUUACCUUUUGAACCGAUAGAAAAAUAUUUAAAAUUGUGUCAAAAAAUUGAAAACAAAUAAUUUUUCGAAAGAACAAACUUGUUAUGAAUUAAAUAAGGGAAUCAUUUUGAAACUUUUUAAAAUUAGGAGACCAAUUUUUUUUAAAAAAAGUUAAGGAAUUAUUGGUAUAUUUUAGCCAUGCUAAUGCUAUUACUACCAUUAAUUAGGAAAUGCACAUGAUGUUGGAUCUCACUUCCAAAGAAUAAUAGCAUUGCCACCAAACUCAAGAAGACAUCAUUUAUCUUAUCACUUCUAAAUAAACUUUCAUAAUACUCAAAUUCAUCAACCGAUGAUGAAAAUAAAAGUAUCCAAGACCAUGACACACUGGACAAAAUAAAAUUAUAACAGAUAAUGAAACAAAACAAAGCAUUAAGAGAGAAUGAAGUUAUGUAUGAAAAUGAUAGGUUCCUUACGCUAUCAACUAAGAGUAUAAAAGAUAAAAACAAAAUUAGUAUUACUAAGAACGAGAGACAAAAACAAGAUAAUAUCCAACUCACCAAGAGCACAACUCCCAAUUAUAAAAUAAAACCAUCAAUAAAACCUAUCAACAUAAAUCUUUAACAUACUCGUCAUCAUUUUCUUAUUAUUCUUUUCCUCGAAACAGACAUUUCCAUAAUCAUCCUCAGGGAACUUGUUUUAAUGGAUGACCGAGAAUCCUGUCUCAAUGAGCACCCUUUGAGUAUCACAUUGGAGGCAGUAUUUAUUAUUAUUAUUAUUAUUAAUUUCGUCUUCCCAUGCUUAUUCAAAUAUAACUCACAAAAUGGCAACACCUUUAAGGAAAGCCUUGACUACGCCCAUUGCAACAACUUUGAAGGAACGUACCCUUGACUACUUCCAUUUCAACACCUUUGAAGGUAUACUCGACUACCUCCAGUACCACAUCUUCAAACGAAUUGUCAACUACCUCCAUUACAAUUUAUUCCUCAAUUGCAAUUGAUGAAUGCAAGAGUUCAAAAUGAUAAAAGAAAUCAUAUGCAUUCCAUACAAAUAUGUGUAAAAGUAGUGUAGUGCAAUUGAACUCGCAUAAAGUAGCGACCUAAAACAACCACGGUGGAUGAGUAAAGUAGUAUUGUGUAAUUGAGCUCUCAUAAAGUAGCAAAUAUAAGUUGAGCAAUGUAACCUAAUGUUACUCUCAUGGUUUGGGUACAAUUAUAAUAAGUAGCUCUAGUAAAUUCAGUUGGAAGGAAGAAAUGUGAAGAAAAAAUGUUAAGAGACAGAUCAAAGAGUGUCAUGGGCAAAAAAACAAAAAAGAGAGAGGAGGAAAUGAAAGUGUUGGCCGAAAAAUGAGAAGAGGAAAGGGGGGACAAGGCAAUGAUUGGAAGAGAAGAGGGGGUGGUGGUGAAAAAGAAAAAAAAUGUGAGAGAAAAAUGAAAGUUUUACUAUUAUAGAUGGGUUUACCUGGUUGAAUUGCAUCCCGGCUUUUAUUACUUUUUUUUUUUUUUUCUGUUAGGCCUAUGUUUUGUUUGCUUUGGGAACAUUAGGUUUCAUGUCCCCCAAGCUUUCUUGUCUUGUUCCUUCUUAUUUAAUUUAUUUAAGUACAUAUAUUUAAAUUCUAAAUAGAGACCUUUUUGUCUCACAAAUCAAUCUUGGAAGUGCCUUUCUAGAUCUACACAUUGUCUACUUUUUAACACAUUAAGCCCAAUAAUUAUAGAGGAAAUAACUGUGAGGAGUUUUAAAAUUUAAAUAUAUAACCACUUGUAAACAAGUGUAAAUUUAUUUGAAAAGUGACCUCAAUUGUAAUCAUACAGACUAUAACAGCUUCCGAACAUAUGGGUCUUGGCUUAGAUCUCCACUAAGCCUUUUGCACCGAUAAGAAUUCAAUAAUAGAUUUCAAUCCUUUGAUGAUUCAAUUUUCCUAUUUGAUCCUUACACACUCUUGAGAAUUCAAACUCAUUCGAUUCCCAAUUAAUCCUACUACACUUCAAGAAUUUUCCUAAAUUACACUAACACAUCUUCUACCUUCAUAAAAAUCCUUAAUGGUCAUUUCUCAUUGCAUGUUUCUAACACCAACUACAUAGCAUGAAUCAUCAUUAUUAGAGAGAUAAAAUUAAAUAAGAGAGUUGCAACACCUCUGCCCCCGCCCACAAAAAGAAACGAAAUCCUUAUUACUCGCCCUUUUCUUAAUGCAUACUGUAUUUGUUUAUUUUAACACCAACUACGUCGCAUGGAUAAUCAUUGUCAUAGAGACGUGAAAUUUAAAACAAUUGCAAUCCAAGCACCAACACACAAAUUUAAGGCAGAAUAGAAAAUAUUCAGGCCAUUUCCACACCUAUAAUUACCAGUAAACAUUAUUCAAUAGUUCUAGAAAAGUUUUCAUUACUAAUUAAGUUAUUGUUUUAAAAAACAAUAAUGUAAAAAUUAUCACCAUGUUCAUACGCUGUGACAUUAAAUGAAACAAUAGACCACGAAUAAUCUUUUUUCUUUUCUUUCGUUAAAAGUUAUAUUUCUUGAGUUAUAUUUCUUUUUUAUAUCUUGCCUAUGGUGGAUUUUAUUUUAGUCUCCAUCUGAGAGUCCACGAAUAAGGUGGAAGACCGACUCUCAUAGCUGGAAGUCAUCCUUCUGCUGAAGAUGAGGUCCCUGUCAUUUUUUUUUUUAUCGAUAAAUAUUAAUUUAAUUUUUGUUAGGGAAGGGAUCUGAACUCAUGACCUUUUCUCCUUUUUCUUUCAUCAUUAGACCAACUUCUUUCAUUAUUAGACCAACCUUAUAUCUCCUCUCGCUAAGUAAUUGCUUGAAGAUGCUUCUUAGAACAAAAAUUAACAUAGGUGAGAAAAUCUUGGACCAAAAAGACCAAAUUAAGGUGAGAAAAUGAGGUUGGGCCAAAAAGGAAAAGAUGAGAAAAUCAGGGUCAUCAGAGAGAAACCAAUUUAUAUUUGAUUUCGAUUUCUUGGAACGCUGGUAUGCGUUGCCAUGCUUUACAAUAUCUCAACAUUUCUCACACCCUUAGACUAAAGAAGAAGAAGAAAAAAAAAACCAACUUUACUCAUUGCCUCGCUUCUUUCUAUUCAGAGUCGGAGUCCAUGUUGCCCAUUGCUUUCAACCCUCUUGGUCUCUGCAUAAGAAAAUCCAAAUUAGGUUUCUUUAUUAACGUGCAAAAAGAACAAAAACACUAAUAUGAUAUGAUACACGACGUAGCAGCAGGUUAAGUCCUUACUUUUUUUUCUCCUACCUUUUUGGAUAUCUUCUUCUCCCUUACUUCAUAUCGUUCCAGAGUAAGAUCGCACAGCCAUGUACCUGGACUAACGAGCUGCAACAACACAAUCCAAAAUGAACAGUUUGGACAUUUUAUAGUUUAGGCCAUCAAUGAAAACGGAAACAUAAACAAGAGAAAGAACGAUGGAUAGAAGUAGUCAAGAACAAGAAACUGAAGAUACUAAUCAAUCAUGUUACCAAUUACAGAAUAAACUAUCGGUGUAGCUCGUAAAGUAAUACUCUCUCCUAUGUAGUUCCUUAAGUAAUAAAAUUAUAUAAGUAAUCUCUUGAAUAUUGAAUAUCUAUUAUUAAUUUAGUCCUUAAUUUGAUAUAUUUUAUUAAAGUUCAGAGGUCGAUUUGAUAGAUUUUUCAAUACUUGAAAGACUACUUGCUAUGGACAACUCAUAUCAUUCCUAUCACAGUUCAAAGUACAUAUUAAUUCCAGUAUUUCCAAUCCUGCUUUCCAACAUACGCAACCAAACCCCAAGGUUACGAUAUAAACCUGAACACGACCGAGGAGUACCCACUUCUUCAUAUUCAUCAACUUGUUCAAUUUUGGUGGUUUAUGAAAAGUCUGUUUAUCGAACACUCAAAACUAAAAGGCUUCUGAACAAACCCACAAGAAACCCAAAUCAAAAUAGCCUGAAUAAUACACCAAGCAACUAUGAUUUUCUCACUUUCCUUUCUCUUUCAUUUUUAUAUACACUCCCUCUAUCUUUCUAUAUUUUUGUUCCUAGAUAAAGAUGCAUGAAAACCCAAUGUCAUUUACCAUCUUAAAAGUGAAAAAAAGGCUAUAAAUAUAAUAUAUGAUAUAAUAUGAAAAAAGAGAAAUAAUAUAUGUAACAUGAUUGUUUGCAACAUAUAGUUAUCCAUAUAUAAUUAUUCCUCUUAAUAAUAAUUUCAGCUUUAAUUUAUUAAGUUCUGAAUUUAUCUCAUCCACUUUUUUACAUCCUCCUUAUAUAUCAUUUUAUUUUCCUCUAUCUAGCUGUCUUUCUUUAUUAUCAUAGCAGAUAUUACAUUUACUUUGUUUCUAUUCUCUUAUAUCUUUUUUUUCUAUUAGAUGAGAACAAUAUAAACAUAUGAACAGAAUACAACAUUUUGCAGCUGCAACAAAGCUCGAAAGAAUUACUAGUAUUAUGCUUGUGUAAAUUUUAUGAAAAUUGACCUGUACCUUUUAACAUAUUUUUUAAAUUAUAUUCGAGUAUUAGAAUAUCAUAAGAUUUCCCCACCUAAUUCAGUGUACCACAGUUUAUAAUUGAAUAAAAUGUAUGCCACAUAAAGAAGCCCAUUCCGCAUCAACAUUGAUUACACCAAUUGGAUAAUUGGAUGCGGACGCAGCACCUAAUUAAGUGUAUCUUCUGUUUCUUCCCUUCCGAACCAAAAUAUUUAUUAUUUUGUAAGACACAAAUUUUAGGAUAUAUAUAUAUAUAAAACAUCCUUCCCCUAAAAAGCUUCGCCAGUACUAGAUUUGCUAGCAUUUAUUUGAUUAUAUAUGUAUUACUUGUUUUAAUUUAAUCUUCAUAUAAAAAAAUAAUUUAAGAAAUAAAUUUUAUGAUGUUAUAAUAACAACAAAUAACAUGAAGGAAUUUUAAAAUAAUUAUAUGUAUAAAAAUUUAAUUUUAAAAAACCCUUCAAUACUUUUAAUAAAGUUAUAGGCAUUAUUACAUUGUUUCUGAAAAAUCAUUAUUAAAUUAAUCACAUAAAUACUUAAAAUAUUUUAAAGAAAUUUAUAAAUAAAUUAGUUCAUCAAAGUUUUAAAAUAUCACCGUAUUCAUACUCAAUAAAGAAAUACUUUUUGAAAAAAUUUAUGAUACCAAACUAAAUCUUUAAAAAAAUAUAUUUGGAUAACCAAAAAAAAAAUUAAAUGUCUAAUUCUAGAAGAAUCAAAUAGAGUAUUUAUCUUUAAAAUUAUGAGAUUAAACUAUGUAUAAAUGUUAUGUAGGUUAUCGUAGAUAUAAUGUUUUUUCGUUAGAGAAAUGCUAGUUAAGGAAAAAUAUUACUAGUAUAAAUUAGUGUAUGUUAUUAUAACUUUUAAUAUAUUUUCGUGGUUUUUAUUAAAAAAAAAAAACUCUCAUUAAUAUUUAACCUGUGUUUUAUUAACAACAAGAACUUUUGAGUUCUCAAACAGAACUUUUGGACCCACACUAUUCGCUGUGAACCAAGCUUAUGGCUGACCGUGUAAGCCCAUCCACAGCUUUCUAACCCUCUGUCUAUAGCUUUUCCAGGCGGAGGUCGUAAAAGUAAAAGUAAAAGAAAGGACGCGCACUACCGUACAAGAGCCACAGAAUAAAAAAUUUAUAAAUAAAAAAAAGAAAAAUAAAUGGCCUACCAAAUUCUGUCCCAGAAUAAUAAUUAUUCUCCUAUAUUUACUUUCUGUUUUAUGUUAUUUUCUUUGUAUUUUUCCCCUCUAUAAUACUAUCAAUUAUUAUAUCUAUCAUUUUUUACUUUAAUUUCUUUUUAUUUCUCAAUCAAAUAAUAAUUUAAUACACAUGAUACUUUCUAGAAAAAAAGUUUCUUAGGCAUCCCAUAUACUAAUAUACACCUAGAGAGAAAAGACAAUAAUAGGAAAAAAUGAUAAUAUGACAAGAAUAGAGAUAUAAACCCAUGAGGUCAAUGAAAUGUCUAGAAUUUUGAAAUAUGCAAGUAUCACUGCUCUAUAUUAUCUUUUGUUUUUCUUUUGUCUCCCUCUUCCUUCCACCUACAUACACCCCACAAUAGAGUGUAUGCUAAUCACCAAUAUGUUUUUAAGUAAUACUUAAAUUAGAAGGAUUUCCUGAUGUUGGAUUUUAACGUGAUUAUUAUUAAGUAAAACUUUGCAUCUCGCUCUCUUUUCUUAGAAAUUAAAUAGAUGAAUUAUAUUAAAAUUUGUAUACAUUUAAUAAAACAAAUUUUAUCACAAAAAUUUAAUAUGGUCACUAAAACAUUACACGCGUUAACUAUAAUUAAGUCCCCCAACAAUUUUUACGGAAAAUGAUACCCUCAUUCAUUCUUGUUGAUUGUCACAACAAUUCUCAAAAAGCGUUUCAUUUAGUCAAAUUCUAAAUUGAAGUCACGUGAUAAAAAAAAUCUUGUUUUAAUAAUCAAUUACGUUCAAAUAUUUCUAAUGCGUCGAUUUCUACAAUCUAGGAUUUAUGAAAUGGUCCCUGUAGAAAAACUUCCUCAAGAAGACAUAAUAAUAACUAAAUUGAAGUGGAAAUAACGUAAAGCUAAAAAAAGGGGGUUAGUGGAGCCUUACAUUGAGGGUUCGUUGUAUGAAUUUGGCUCUCUUCUUGGGUCUCUGGGGAAGCUUUGAACCCUUCAAGAGCAGAAAAUCUUCUUCCUUCUCCUUGUUUGUCAAGGCAAUCACGAACUUUGGCGGCCACACCGGCGGAGCCGCGUCACCACUGCCGGACGGCGACCCACCACCGCCCUUCUUGCUAUCGUGCGCGGUGUCUGAUGAGACCACAGACUUGUUAUUAUUGUCAUUAAGGUGGUUGUUUUGGGUCCCCCUCUUAUCGUGCGCACCCCUGUCCGGUGAGGCAAUUCCCCUAACACUCCCGUUGCUUUGGCCUCCUCUCAUAGCACUUGAAGUCUCCGAAUUCCUAAGUAAGAUGAAUGAUAAUUUUUUUAAAAAAAUCAAUCACAAGCAAAACCCACAUAUGAUUAUUAUCCCAUAUGUUUUCUUUCUUAACCGUAAGAACGUGAAACACGACGUGAUAAAUAGGGAAAGAAACGAAUAUGCAUUGAGAAGCAUUAUUUUGUUGUUUGGAAAAAUAAUAAUUAUACAAAAAAAAAAAAAACUUUAGGGGAGGGGAGUAGUGGGUUUACGAAAUUGACCUUGUGGGUCGAUCUAGAUCGCAGGGUUUGAACUUUGAAGAGGUUGGGAUAUCAACCGAUUUUGCGUAAAAUAUGGGCUGAUUUUUUGGCUUCUUCGUGGGGUAUUUGUAGAAACCGGGGGCUGGUGUGUGCGCCUUUAAUUUUAUUUUUAUUUUACUUCCUAAGAUGAAAAGAUUUAGAUGGAUAUUUACGAGAUUUGUGCAUGUGAUUCCUUAUAAUUGACCCAGGUGGUUCCAUGGAAAGUUUGGGGCCGUUGGAUCUAGAUUCUAGAGUGUUCAUUGGCUAUUUUGUUUAGUACCUUACUAUGUGGUUUGAUGGGACGUACCAGAUCUAACACCUGGUGCCUCAUCCAACGGCCACAAAAGGGAUUUCUUACAAAAUGACUUUAGAAGAUGACUUUAGAGGAACACGUGGAAGGAGACCCUCCAUUCCAUGUUCCUGACAAAGCUAGGGACUAAGAGUAAUAAUCCUCAUGAUAAUGAGGGGUUCCGGUACGGUGUUAUUAUUGUAGACCUAGAGAUCCACAAAGUGCAGUGCAGUUAGAAUAUGAUCUGGACAUCUGGUAUGACGGAGGAUUAAGUUUAGUAUUACUUUUCCACGGAAAAAUAUCCUCUCCAAUUAAUGGAGGUUCAAAUAGUACUUAUCUCACAAAUUUUAUGUGUCUAUCUCUCUGGAUUUCUUCAGUAACGGAAGAGGAGUCAGAUCCCCCUUUUCCAUGUCAUGAAACAUGAUCUCCAAGGAUAAAAGCUUAAAGGGGAACCUCCAUGAUCAUUAGACAUCAUACCCUAUUGUUUGGUACGUGUAUCAUAUGAAUAUCAAUCAUACACAGUGAGACAAAUGCAUCAAAAAGCCGAGAUAAAACCAAUUAAUUCCACAUCAUAAAAUAAAUACCAGAUGAAGAUGUGAGAGGGUUUCAUAAAAGUUCAAUUUGCAGACAGAAAACACAGACCGAUAAGAUGCCAUAUAUCAUGAAUAUCAACUAUGAAAUAUCAAAUUUUUGGUUGCAAAAACAUCUAGGAUGAUGGAAUAGAGUAUGACAAGAUCUUAGAUUUGACAGAUAGGAAAUUCAAGUAAAACACUAUUUGAAUCUAAAAUCUUUCCUAUCUUUAGACCGAUCGCUAUCCCCUUCCUCUUAAAUUUUAUAAAUAAAAAAAAUCUGUUGCAAAGGCAAGGUUGGAUUUAGAUCUUCACCAUAGUUUAGAUUUUUCAGAUUAGUUACUAAGAGAUAAGGAUGAUCCAAUAUUUGAAAAAGGGUGAAGGAUGAAGAGAGUGUGAAGAGAUUGCAGGUUUGCUCGUUUUUCUACCAAAAGUAACAAAUUAGUAUUUGCUUAUAAAAAAAAGACUCCCCAACUCUUUUGCCUGUCUUUUUGUGCUUUUAAAUAUUAGCCUUGAACACUUUAAGUCAAGAAACAAUUGAUAUGAAGACACUGGUGAGGUAAUCAUUAUUCAUUACACAUUAAUGCGAGCUUCCUAAAUUAGUAAUAAUAAAAAUUUCCAAAUGAAUUUUGAUUUUUGAGGGAAGAAAAGAAAGACGACCUCACGCAAUUACCGUGAGCUCCCCUUUAAUUUGGAUGAGACAUCCGCAAGGACCUGACCAAUUGGAGAGUGGACAAAAUAUAAGCCUCAUGGGUCAUGAUAAAUAUUCAGCCCAAAUGUAGCAAAUAUCUUCAAUGCCCAAUUUUAUAAUAUUCACGGUAACAUUUGAAACUGAAGAUUUCUGCGACUGACAUAAGAGACUUACAUGUUGCCUUCAUCGCAUAUAAUCGGCCCCCGCGCGCACAAAAAAAUUUCGUGGCAGACAUGAAUCCACCCACUUCCACACAAAUCCUAUAUGAAUAAUAAUUUGUUUCCUACAUGCUUAUCGGAUAUUUGACUAGAUCUGAACCCAUUAGCCAAGCAUUGCAUGGGAUAGGAAUAAAAUCAAAAAUUAAAUUUCCAUUAUCAGAAAUAUCGAUUAGAACAAAAAAUUAUUAACACAAGUAAUGAUUCGAUACUUAAGUUAUUUAAUUAAGGUUUGGAAUUCAAUUCCUGACUUGAAUAUGGAAUCACAACUAAAAAUAUCCCUUUUAUCUAAAAAAUGAAUCAACUGGGUGGAAGAAGAAUUACACCUCGCAGCUGUACCAAAAAAAUAUCAAUUAUAACACAGAAAAAUCUUUUCUGGAAAUGUCCAAGAACCAAGCAAAAUCGUUUCAAAAAUCGAACUGCUAAAUCAUUAAAAAGGAUAUUGAACCAACUGUUAAUAAAAAAAAAUAUCAAAUAUAAAAUGAUUUUUUUUUAUUCAGCUCAAUUCGAUCUUCGAACCAAAUCAAAUUGCAAAUAGCCAAAUUUAUUAAAUUUUUACAAAUUUCCUCAUUUUAUCUUAAAAUUCUAAUCUUAUUAUAUACUACAUAUAUUUGUACGUUUAGAAAAUAUUUAAAAAUCAUUUUAACCUGUAACUCAUAAUUUUAAUCCAGUUGUGAUUUAUGAUGUGAUCUGAUAGUUUUAAACAAUUUUUUUUAUACUUAUUAUAUAUUUGACUUUUUAAAUAAAAAACUAGUCACUUAAAAAUGGUUAUAAUUUAGAACUUCACUCUUAUUUUAAUUAAUAAAAUUUUAUUUGUUUGUUAAAAAAAUUAAAAGAAUAUUUCAAAAUAAAACAAAAGUCAAAAUUAGAGAUCUAAUUCAAACCCCUAAAAAAUAAAACUAAUUUUGUUUGAGAUGGGGUUCGCUUGAAAGUGAAAUUCAUGAGCUUGUUAACGGUACCUGGGCACGCACCUCUUGCUAGCUGUUCUACCGCCAUCAAAGAUGGCCUGUAGCUUGAUUUCGAACAGAGAAAUUCAAUAUUAUUCUUACCUAAGUUUUACUUGUUUCCAAAUCCAACACUCCCUACUCCUUUCCUACAACUCUAGUUUAAUUUUUUAUAUUGAUUCCUAUGGUAGAUAUUGGAUUCGACGCCGGUAUAUAUUUAUUACAUAUGCUAAUAAGUAAUCUUAAGGUAUUAUUUAAGGAAUUAAAAAAACAUUAGAAUGUACAAAAUUAUAAUGUCCAUACUCCUAUAAAUAGGAAGAUCCUAUAUUUAUAUACCAGGACAGUAAAAAAAAAGGAUCUCAACAUAAAUAAAUAAAUAAACAACUAGAUGUAAUAAUAAAUAAAGUUGAGGGAAGAUGCAAAGAAAAAUACCUGAGAAUUCGCGGAGGAGGUUGCUGCGGGGAAGGUGGGCGUUGACGGAGAUUCAGAUACCCGUUACUCUGAUUAAUAUUAUUAUUAUUAUGAAGGCUAAUAUGAUUGUUAUUGUUGUUAUUAGUGAGGGUAGCAGUAGUGGGUAAGGAUCUACUAAUACUAAGAUUUGAAGAAGAAUCUUUAUCGUUUCUAACCACUCUCCGAUCCACCCGAACCGUUGUUGUUGUUGUUGUUGUCCUCUGAACCGGGUUGUUUGAAGAAGAAGGGUCGUGUUUGACCUGCACCUUCAUGCACCUUAGUCUCUUCCUGUUACCCCACUGCAGCCCCAAAUCCGACGUCGUUGCUGCUUGUCUCAUUCCAUCGGAGCUACCCCUCAGCAACAACGACCCGGCCCCACCACUACUACUAUCCCCUCCAACUUUGUCUCUUUCUCUAACGCUAUUGCCUUGAUGAGACUCUUUAUCCAUCCUACCUGUCAUGGUCACCAUUAAUUAGGUUAAGUUUCAAGGGAUAUUACUGAAAUAAUAACAAAAAAUAAUAAUAUGAUUACAUACAUACAUUCAUACAACAAACAAACUUGAAAUUGGUGUUGGAUUUGUAUUAUCUGCCCCUUAUUAUUAUUAUUUUCAUAUAUAUUGAUGAUGCAUUACGCUUAUUACGCAUCUAGUGGCACUACUGCUAUAUUUUAGUCAGAUAAAAUAAAGAAGGUGCGUUGGAGGGUCCACAGUUUUCGAGAGGGGGAAAGGAAAAUGAAAACCAUGGGAAUCGCGCGGUGUGAGCAUCUUCUUCCAAGAUCAAGACAAGAAGUGGGUGAUGAAAAUUGAAAGGGAAAACGGAAAUUUAUAAUUGGAUUCAAUAUGGUUGCACAUGGACUGCGAGAUUUUCAACCAUGAUUUGAGGGGAAAUGAUAUGUGAAAAAACGGAAAAAUGAAAGGAAGAAAAAAGAAAAGUGAUCAAAUAAUACAUGAGAGCUUGGAAGGUUCAAUGGCUUCUCUUAGACUUGGCUUGUUCAAUCGGUUUGCUUGACUCUGCAGAUUUCAACUAUUGAGUAAGAUUUGCUGUUCAGGUUUUGCUCUUUAAGCCAAUUGACUAACAUUUCGAUUCACAAACAGCGAAAGAAAGAGGUGAAAAAGAAGAAUCGAAGAAGGAAUUGAACAUAGAAAUAGAGAAAGUCAUAACAGAAACAGAGAGAGAAACAGGGGACUUAAAAUCAACUAUAUUUGUAAUCGUUAAAAAAAAAUCCAAAAUAUUUGCAAGGGGAGGAGAUCCAAAAGCAUGAAAUUGAAACCGUAAGGAAUGAAAAUCAACGCAUUACAGAAAACUUGCACGAUGUUAGCAACCAGAAGAAAAAUGAGACGGUUUUUCGAUUUUAGGAAAUAAAUGAAGAGGCAGGGGAAAAUCAUGGAACCGAAUAUUGGAUUAACAUUACGGUGAAAUUCAACACCUCAGUUCCGAUUUUAGGUAAGUAAAUUUAUAAUUUCUCACCUAAACUAAUCCGAUUCCGUCAAAAACCCAAGCCUUAAGACGCGCCACACAAGCUCGCUGGUUUCAGUUCUGAAGCUUUGAAAAAUGAAAAUCUAUUUCUAAACUCCAACUAAUAACGACAUUUCAGAGCUUCGAUCUGCAACCACGGCUACAAGUACAAACUCAGGCACGAUCUAGCAGAGAGUCCAGAGUUCCGAAAUUCGACGAUUUUUCGAGAGAAAAAUGUAUCUGCAGAUGCGAAAACAGAAAACCACAAAAAACUUAGCACAAAGACCAAACAUGAAAUAGAAGAAGCGAACAAUUGAGAAAAAAAUCUUUCUCUGCCUCAAUUCCAAACCUCUAAAACUAGAAAUUAACGAGCACCUUCAAAUAUCGCAAACGAACGAAUGAAAUCUUCAGAAGAGAAUUAACAAUUUGAUUCUGACAAAUUCUGUCAAAUCCUUGUCUGAUAGACCUGCAGAUAGAAAAAAAAUGAGACGAAAAAAACAAAGUCAAGAUUAGCGAUUUGAUUAUGCUCAAAAUCCAGAAAGAAAAAUAGCAAAAGAAGAAACGAAGUUGAAAAUUGCAGUAACCUUAUUCAAUGUUCAAAAAGUAGCAGAUCCUCAACAUUCACCGUUCACUAAUCACAAUUCGCGUCGCAGACGCAGUUUGGCGUAACAGAAAAUGGUGGAAACGAAGAAAUAAAAAUAAAAAAGUCCUCAGAAAAAUAAAUUAGAAGAUGUAAGAAGGGUACAGGGUGUUUCUUCUUCUUCUUCUUCGCUUUGUUCUCAGUGAUAGAGCGAAAUGCUCUCUGUUAUAUAAAUCUUCUGCCACGCUCCGGAAAUUCUUUACCGUUGAUCUCUGAUCUGACGGCUCUCGCUUACCCUCGCUUGAACCAUACAUAGAAACCCGUUACGUCGUUUAUGCGAGCCCUUCUGUCGUUUAAUUUUUCUAACGGCGUUACCCCUAUUAACGGAAUCUGCAGAGCCGUCAGAUCCCGAUUAUUUAUUACUUCUAUUUUAAAAUUGUUUUUUGUUUUAUUUUAUUUUCGCACUGGUUCAUGCUCGCGCCCAGAAAUGAUGAUGGUUGGUAUUGCAAGUUAACUAGGGUUAGUUAACCUGAUGAUGGUUAGUUUUAGCAUCAUUUACUAAACCAGAACAUUGAUUUGUUUCUCUUCGGUCUUCAUUUUCUGCGAUCACUGAUCAGAUGUCUGGACUUUUGCUUAUUUUAUUUUAUAUAUACAUACAUUAAUAUUGGUUAUAAAUAGUAAGCAAUGUUGUUGAUACAGUAUUUUUAUGUAUAAUAAAAGUAUAUUUUAUACAAGUUAUGUUAAAAAUAAGUUUAUUUUAAUAAAUUUUGUAUAUAACAUAUAAUGAAUAGUAUUAAAAAAAUAUUUGUUUAAAAGCGUGUUUUCAUCCAACAACUAAUAAUUAGAAUAGACUAAGUAUGUUUUGUAGAGAGUUAAAAUAUUAAUAAGGACGGAGGAAGAUAGUUCUAUUAGGAUUUUGGGUGAGACUUUCAAGAAAGAGAGAAGAUCUUCUUCUUCGAAAUACUUGCAAUCUCAAAGGUGGAUGACAUUGUGAUGAAUGGAAAUGUUGGGAUUUAAUUCUAAAUAUAGAAAUUCAAUCAAUCAGUAUAAUCAUUAAUUUUAAUCAUAUGCUUUUUAUUCAUAUAAAGACUGUACAAAAAUGAAUAAAGUCAUUUUAUAUUUUCAUAAUCAAAAUCAUGAUGAAAACUAAAUGCAGAAGCAUACCUACAUUAGUCAUAAUGGAAUGAUGAUAAAAUGUUGAUCAGAAAAUUGGUUUCAUGACCUUCCAAUUCUAGAGAGUCAUUCUUUUCUUUCCUGAAUUUUUCUCUUCGGACGGAGGAAGAGAAAACUGUACGUUCCUUUCUACAAAUGGGACCAUAAUCCCUUAUAUUGUUACCAUUUAUUCGUUACCCCAAAUUUGAUAAUUAUAAUUUGUCCCUCAUCAAAUUAUAAUAUCACUCUAUCUAUACAAUUAUCAUUUCAUGACAUAUAUGCCUUUAGCCAUACUUUUAUAUUGAUUAGGCCACUUUAAUAUUCUGGUUAAUUAUAUAAUGGCCCUAUAUAUAUAUAUAUAUAUAUAUAUAUAUAUAUAUAUAUAUAUAUAUAUAUAUAUAUAUAUAUAUAUAUAUAUAUAUAUAUAUAUAUACACUUACAAUCCUUAUGAAUGUGUUAGACUUUAUGAGCUCAAAAUUUGCCAUUACAUGUCUUGAGCAUAUUUCAAAAAUCUUGUCCAUUGAUUACAUCCACAUGUAGAACCAAAAUAGUUUUCAUUGUAUCAAUCACAACUAAACUCAUCAAUGAUCACUAAUGCUGACAUAAUCAAAUGACAUAGACUUGUCAUGAAAUGUGUAGCAUGAAAAUUACAUGCAGGUGGUUUGUACACGUCUAUUUUUAAUUGGUCCUACUUUACCUCAACAAGAUCAUUUAAUAACCUUAAUGUACAAAGUGUAAUAACUGAAUAAUAAACCAUAUAUAUUUAACCAAAUAUAUCCAAAAGUCAAUAUAUGCAUACAUAAAAUCUAACAGAGAACAUAAAAUACAUAAAAGUGACUAACUCCCACUAAACCAAAGAUUCCUCGAAUUGUAAAACACUUAUGUGAGCAACAUGCUCAUGAAAGACCUUGGGUGGAAGUCCCUUAGUAAGAGGAUCUACUAUCAUGGAGUUUGUCCCUAAGUGUUCUAUUGAAAUUUGUCCACUCUAUACCCUUUCCUUAACAACUAGGAACUUGAUGUCAAUAUGCUUCGACUUGGUCGAGCUCCUAUUGUUGUUAGAAUAAAAUACAACUGAUUUGUUGUCACAAUAUAACUUAAGUGGUUUUUCAAUUCCUUCCACAAUUUACAGCCCUGUGAAAAAAAUUUGUUGGACAUGUGACCUCAAAAAUCUUAAGAAUGGGUGAAUUAAUUUCUCACUAGCAAACUUUUAACCCCCUUCUAAAAGAGAUAGGCUCAGAAUGCAGAAAAAGCAGCAAUCAAUUUAAUAAUGUUCUUUAAACAUGAAAGACAAAAUUGAUUGCAACAAAAUAAGUGAGAUAAGGGAAGAGAGAAUGCAAACACAGUUUUUAUACUGGUUUGACAAAGUCCGUGCCUAUGUCUAGUACUCAAGCAACUCACUUGAGAUUUUCCACUCCCUUUGUAAAAAUCUAUUUACAAAGUCUAAACCACACAGGGACAACCCAUCCCUUGUGUUCAGGAAUCCUUAGAACUUAAGAGACCCUCAAUCCCUUAAUCAAUCUCUUUGAAUAAGAAGAAAGAAAGAAGAAUUCUCUCUUGAAGAGAAGGAUAUUACAAUUGAAGUCCAUGGAGAAACUCUUAAUGGAUUUAUAAGUGUUUGCCUAAGAGUUUCUUUUGAGAGAGCACUUGGCAAUGAAGUUCUCUUGGAAUCUCUCUCAUUUCCUUUUGAGAGGAUAAGACAUUUUGAACAAGCAAAACUCUCUCUUCAAAAUUCAUGCCCAAGUCACCUAUUUAUAAGCCUUUGUUGGCCAUUCACAAAUUCAAUCAAAAGAUGUGGCUGUUGACAAAUUUUCUGAAAACUCUCCAUUGGUAAUCAAUUACAAUGCUUGUGUAAUUGAUUACACAGUUAUAAUUUGAAGGGCUAUGACUUUUGAAUUUGAAUUUCCAAUGUCCCCUUCUUGAAACAAGGCUUUGUUUGUUGAAGCAUUCUUGAAUUAAUCUUGAAGCAAAUGCUUAUCCUUUAAAGCGACCUUGUUUAAUUCUUCUUUGGCAUCAUCAAAAUUCAUGUAUUCAUACAUUCACAAAUUUUUCAACCAUAUUCCAUGAUUUGAUGCCUCAUAGCAUGCCAAAAAUUCUGCCGCCACAGUGAAUGAAGUAGUAAGGGUUUGCUUGGCACUGUGCCAAGAAACCGCACCACCGGCUAACAUGAAAAUAUAAGCUGAAGUGGAUCUCAAACUAUCUAGGCAUCCUGCAAAAUCUUAGUCAGAAUACCCAGUAAUCUCCAACUGAUCUGACCUCUUGUAUGUGAGCAUAUAGUACUUUAUUCUCUUCAAAUACCUCAUAACCCUUUUGGCUUCUUUCCAACAAUCCAUUCAUGGAUUGCUCAAAUAUCUGCCUAAUACCCCAAAUGUAUGCUAUAUCCGGACGCGUAAAUACUUGGGCAUACAUCAAACUCCCUACAACUGAUGCAUAGGGAAUCUUCUACAUUUCCUGAAUUUCUAAAUUUCCUUUUGGGCACUAUUUGAGACUAAACUUGUCCCCCUUAGCAAUUGGAGUAUCCCCGGAUUUACAUUCCUGCAUGUCAAACCUUUUAAGUACCUUUUCGAUAUAGCUUCUUUGUGAUAAUCCUUGAAUACCCCAAGAUCGAUCUCGGUGUAUCUGAAUUCCUAAUACAAAGGAGGCAUCACCAAGAUCUUUCAUUUCAAAGUUUCUUGAUAGAAAUCUCUUGGUUUCGUGCAACAUGCCUAUAUCAUUAGUGACAAGCAGUAUGUCAUCAACACAUAAGACCAAGAAAAUGUACUUGCUUCCACUGAAUUUGUGAUACACACAAUCAUCAACAAGAUUCAUCUCGAAACCAAAUGAAAGAAUUACUUGAUGAAAUUUGUGAUACCAUUGACGAGAUGCCUGUUUUAGCUCAUAAAUGGAUUUUGUCAGUUUGCAAACCAUAUUCUUUGGGUCUCCUGACACAAAGUUUUCUGAUUGUACCAUAUAAAUUGUUCCAUCAAUGUUGUCAUUGAGAAAUGUCGUCUUGACAUCCAUUUGAUGAAGCUCCAAAUCGUAAUGUGCAACAAGAGCCAUGAUUGUCCUAAAAUAGUUUUUUGAUGAAACAGGAGAGAAAGUCUCUUUAAAGUCAAUCCCUUCCUUUUGGGUAUAGCCCUUCGCCACAAGACGAGCCUUAUACCUCUCCACAUUACCAUUGGAAUCCCACUUGGUCUUAAAUAUCCAUUUGCACCCAAUGGGUUUCACACCUUCUGGUAAUGGGACAAGUUCCCAAACUUUGUUGUCUUGCAUGGACUUAUACUCCUUAUUCAUUGCUUCAAUCCACUUUUCUGAGUUGGAAUCUUGCAUGGCUUGAUGGAAGUUGACUGGGUCAUCUUCCAUCAUACCAUUAUUUUCCUCAUGUUCCCGGAGAAAUACCACAUAAUCAUCUGGAAUAGUACUUCUCCUUUCUCUUAUAGAUCUCCGCAAAGGUACUGGCUCAUGAAGCAUAGGUUCUUGAGGAUCUUGAGUUUGUUCUUCAUGAAUGACCAAAUUAUCUUGAGUGGGUCAAUAACAAUAUCUUGUAGGGGUUCUGAAUUUGCUUUAUCAAAAGCAACUGUAUGAAUUGAUUCUGGAAUUGUUAUUGAUCCUUCCUCUAAGACAAACUCUCUAACUUUAUUCUUCCCCCUAACUCAAUAUCCUCAAAGAAUGUGGUGGUUCCCGUCUCAAAAAUUGUCUUUAAUUUGGGAUCAUAAAAUUUAUAGCCCUUGGAUCUUCCAGAAUAACCAAUAAAGUAGUUGCUCACUGUUCGAGAGUCCAAUUUCCUUUCAUUUGGCUUAUAAGGCCUUGCCUCAGAUGGACAUCCCCAUACAUGAAAAUAUUUUAAACUAGGCUUUCGCCCAACCCAAAGCUCAUAAGGUGUUUUGGCAGCUGCCUUAGUUGACACUCUAUUUAGAAUGUAAGAUGCAAUCUUUAAUGCCUCUCCUCAGAGUGACUCUAGUAAGUUAGAAUGAAAAAUCAUGUUUCUUACCAUAUCCUUAAGAGUUUUGUUUCGUGUUUCAGCCACACCAUUCAUGCUAGGUGACCCCGACAUGGUGUAUUGUGGGAUGAUUCCACAUUCCUCUAGAUACCUGGCAAAAGGCCCCAGACAUUGUUCACCUGAACUGUCAUAUCUGCCAUAGUAUUUACCACCACGGUCAGAUCUGACACACUUUAUUCUUUUGUUGAGUUGAUUUUCAACUUAAACUUUAAAUGUUUUGAACACAUCCAAAGAUUGUGGCUUUUCAUGUAUAAGAAACAAGUAUGCAUAUCUGGAUUAAUCGUCUAUGAAUGAUAUAAAAUAUUGUCAACCACUCCACGAAGGUGUAUGAAAUGACCCACAUAUAUUCGUAUGUAUCAAUUCUAAGACGUCUGUAGCCCUAUAUGCACUUAAUUUCUUGCUUUUGGUCUGUUUACCUUUAAUGCAUUCAACACAAACAUCAAAGCUUGUGAAAUCAAUGGAAUCCAAGAUUCUGUUUGACACAAGUUGUUCAAUUUUGUUCUUAGAAAUGUGACCUAAGCGCUUGUACCAUAAUGCUCCCGAGUUUGUAUUAUUAAUUCUACACUUAGUACCACACAAUUUUGUAUUAAAGGAUUCACCAUAGGAAGCUACAGUAUCAAGUAAAUAUAGAUUAUCAUUAACCAAGAGUGAACCAGUUCCAACAAUAUUUGAAUUAAAAGACAACCUGAACACAUUGUUUCCAAAUGAACACUAAUAAUCCAAUUUGUCCAAAUAAGAAACUGAAACCAAAUUCCGUCUAAAUGACGAUACAACAAAAGUGUCUUCUAAAUCCAAAUAAAAACCAGUACAUACUAAUAAUCUAAAGUGUCCUAUAGCUUCCACUUCCACUGAUUUACCAUCUCCAACAUAGAUCCAUCUUUUAGAAUCAAUUGGCUUCCGAUAGCUUAGGCAACCAUGCAUUGAAACACUGAUGUUAGUAGUGGCACCAGAAUCUAACCACCAAGUGUUUCUAGGUACUAGAGCUAAAUUGACCUCAGAACAUAACAAAGUAAGAAAUAUACCCUUCUUUGCACGCCAAGCAUGAUAUUUGGUACAUUUCUUCUUUACAUGUCCAAACUUACUGCAAAAGAAACAACUGUCACAUUGAUUUUGUUUCUUUUGUGUUGGACCCUUAGCAGCUUCAUUCUUGGGCUCCUCAAUUCUUUUCCGUUUGCCCUUGUCUUUAGAGGUACUCACAACAUGAGUACUUUCAAUCUUUUCUUGCUUCAGUCUUUCUUAUUCUUGCACACAGUAUGAAAUGAGCUCAUUAAGAGACCAUUUCUCCUUCUUACAGUUGUAAGAGAUCUUAAACUGACUAAAUUGUGAAGGAAGAGAAAUUAGCACUAAAUUCUGAUAGCUCAAGCUUUAGUGCCCUUAAUUUUGAAGCAAUAUUUGACAUUCCCAUAAUGUAUUCCCUGACAUUUUUCUUUGCCUUGAUACUUCAUGGAAAUCAAGUUCCGAAGGAGAGUACUUGUUUCCGCCUUAUCGCUUUUUGCAAAGCGCUUUUCAUUUCAGCAAGGAAUUCUUUGACACUGGUUAUAUCAUCUGAAAUAGUGUUCCUAAAGACCUCAGGAAUGUCACGCUUAAUGAUCAUAAGACUCAUGCGAUUUGAGUGAUCCGACUUCUAUUGAAGUUUACUCUGUUAAGAGGUACUGAAUCCGUGUGAGAAGGGGGUUUCUCAAUCCUUAAUACAAGGUCUAGAUCCAUGCAGGCAAGAACAAUUUACAUGUUCUCUUUCCAGUCCUUAAAAUUUGCACCAUUAAGAACUGGAACCGAAUCCAGAUUAGCAAAUAUAGAAGCAACAACUGAAAAGAUCAAAACAAAUGCAAUACGCUCACAUAGCAGUCGUCAAUGCAUUUAAAUAAUCGUAUAUCUCAUCUCAAGAUAUCUAGAGCACCGUUAAUAUCAAGUCUUUGAACAGUGGUAUUAAUUGCUAGUGAUAUCCUUAUUGUAAUGUUCAAACAUUGAUAAUAAAAGCAUGUCAAACAACAAACCCAUCUUUUGAUGUGACUUAUCAUUCAUAUGCAAAAUCUCAUAAUUAUCACAUGUUUAACAUCACAGGUGUGUACGUAACUUAGUUAAAUGGUAACUUUCCUUUGGGCCAAUCACCAUUCAUAUAAAUAAUCACACACGUUAACCUUUAACAUUUCUCAUGAACAAUCUACACAAGAGAGGUCACUUUGGUGAUAUCUUGAUUCAAUUAGCUCAUUUAAAUGCUAAAUAAUUAAAAUGAUAUACCAUAACUGAAUUUUGAACAUUGAUACACCAAAUCCAAAAUUAAAACGUUUCUUGAGUAAAUUAUUUUAACUUUAUUUAUUUAUUUUAAAUUUAGAGGCCCAUGAUUAUUAUUUUAAUAUACUACAGCGGCCUCUAAAAGUAAGAACAAACACAUAAAUGAUGCAUUUAAAUUUAUACCAAAUGCUUUAUAUCAUUGUUCAUUUUGUAGUAAUGUGAUAAUCUUAUUUUGUUUCCUCAAAACAUUGUACCUAAUGUGUGUAUGUUGUCCAAACAUCAUACAUGAAUCAAGUAUGAGAUGCUCUGAUACCAAAUGUUGGGAUUUAAUUCCAAAUAUAGCCUAAUUUCAUUCUAACAGACAAUCAUCAAUUCUAACCACAUGCUUUCUAUUAAUGUAGAGAGAAAUUACUGUACAGAGAUGAAUAGAACCCCUUUGUGUUCUCAUACUCAAAAUCAUGAUGAAAACUGAGAUGAAUAGAACCCCUUUGUGUUCUCAUACUCAAAAUCAUGAUGAAAACUAAACGCGGAAGCGUACCUGGAUUAUCCAUAAUGGAAUGAUGAUGAUGAAAGGUUAAUCAGAAAAUUGGUUUUAUGACCUUCCAACUGUAGAGAGCCCUUCUUUUCUUGUCUGAAUUUUUCUUUCCGACAAGGAUAAAGAGAAAACUGUACACGUGGAGUUGCUCUCUAGAAAUGGGGACCAUAACCCCUUAUAUUGGUAACUACCAUCAGUUACCCCAAAUUUGAUAAUUAUAAUUUGGCCCCUCAUCAAAUUAUAAUAUCAUUGAUAUCUACACAAUUAUCCUUUUAUGACAUAUAUGCCCUUAGCCAUACUUUUAUAUUGAUUAGACCUCUUUAAUCUUCUUGGCUAAUUAUAUAAUGGCCCUAACUCAUUCAAUUAUGUGAUAUAUAUAUAUAUAUAUAUAUAUAUAUAUAUAUAUAUAUAUAUGUAUGUAUAUGUAUAUGUAUAUGUAUAUGUAUAUGUAUGACCCAAAAUUGCUAACAGAGUAGCCUUUCUAUAUGAUUAAAUUAUUGGAUAACAAGGGUCCUAUGCCAUUUUAUGCUUUUGAUGGAAGAGGUUUUGGUAAACUAGAGAUCAAGAUUCCUCUUCCUUCAAUAUUGAAAAAAGACAAAGAAGCAUUUUAAGGAAGUUCCUGUUUCGGAUGAAGAGUAUAAUGACUCGCACAAGCCCUAGAAAGGAUCACUCAUGGUUACAAUACUUGGUAAGCAUAUUAGUUUUUGGAUAUUGGGGCGAAGUUAAAUCGUGAUUGGGCUAAAAAGGGCUCAAUUAAGAUUAUUGAUGGUCUAAAAAAUUAUUAUCAAGUAUUGUUUACGUCGGAUGAAAACAAUAAUAUGGUAAUCUUUGAAGGUAUUUGGAUGAUGGUUGAUCGUUAUGUUUUAGUGAAACAAUAGAGACCUUUCUUUUAGGCCAAUACAUCAGUGAAAAGGAAGCUAGCAGUUUGGAUUAACAUUCCAGAGUUACCAAUUCAGUUGUAUAAAGAUGAAAUUAUUGGGAGAGUUGGUUUCACAUUAGGAGUGAUGUUUAAAAUUGAUCAAGUUACUUCUAUUUAUUUUUUAGGUCAAUUUGCUAGAAUAUGCAUAGAAAUUGAUCUUGAUAAGCUUCUGUAGCCCAAAAUUAUUGCUCGUGGAUAUCUUUUGAAUCUUUAGUAUGAAAAUCUUUAUCUAAUAUGUUUCAAAUGUGACAAAUAUGGCUACAAGGAUAAUGCUUUUAAGAGGUAGCUUAGGAGAGUGUAGUAGUGAAAGCAGAUGCAAAUGCACCAAUGGUGGAGGAUUUACUCUCGCGAAGCAAGCGAAAGUUGUCUUUUUUAAAUUUCCUUUUGUAACGGAUGACAUAGUUUCUACAUAAGAUAUGAUACUAUUAAUUGCAUCAAUGUUGAUUCUAGCAUGUGUGGGUUGUAGAUUUUUGCCAAGGAAAACAUAUGUAGAAAGCCCCAUCAUAGGGGCAUUGAUGGCAGAGAAGUGGGGUCCAAUAUGAUGAAGGACAGAAUAGAAAAAAAACAUUUUCUAAUAAUGGGAAUAAAGGAUCUUGAUUUCAAGAUCUUGAUAAGGGGUUAGUAGAGGCAUGUUAGGUCAUGAGGGGUAAAAAAGCGGGUUACGGGCCAAAAUGAGAGUUUGACCAAGUGUCAUUUGCUAAAGGUGAUUCAGUGGGCCAUAACAAUGCUAAACCCAAAAGGGCAAAGGUAGUGAUCCAAUUUAAAUAAACAAGAGUGUCAAUCGGGGCCAAGAAAAAUGAAGCUUCUUUGGUUUAGAAAAUAAGGAAGGUCGAAGGUUGAAAAGGUGUUGUAGAUUGUGCCAAAGAUGAUGAAGUCCUAUAAAUGAUUUGUGUUUUUCAAAAUAUGAGUACAUGUUUUAUUUUUUGAUGGAAUUACAAGCAAGAUGUGUUGGAAGGGAAUGUAAUUUAUAUAGAUGAAGAUAUUAUUCUUUUUUGGCGAAUAAGUGAAGACUGUUGCAUCUUUAGAUAUGGAAAUUGAAAGUGGGACUGUUUGCUAGUUAGAUGAUACUAGACCUUUGUAGGUCAACCAUUUUUCCCUUUCUUAAUGAAUCUUUUUCGUGCAAUUGUAGAGGUACAUGAAGUAAAGAGUUUUUGAAUCUUAUGACUGAGAUAAGAAGAGAAAAUUUUGCUUCUCUUGUUUUUCUUUUAGAGAUGUAUUUGUGGGAAGCUCAUGGGCACUCUGGAGGUAUUUAGUGCCUAUGGGAUUUGGCUAUGUGAAAGGUGAAAGUUCUUGAGCACUCAUGUUUGUCCAUAUGCUUGAGAGUUUGUUGGAGGUGUAAUACCCUUCAUUAAAAUAACUCCCCAUACUAAAAAGAAUAUAAAAUCUCAAAAUUAUAUUAGUCUGAAAAUAUCUCAUGUAUAAUAAAUGAAGUCAAAUAAAUAAGUUUUUACAUGAGUAAAAAUAUUAUUCUCAAAUAUAGGCAUCUAAAAAUAUCUGAUGCUAAAUUUGACAUAUUAUUUUGAGUACUGACAAACCUAAAAAUGUAUCUAGAGGUAACUAAGUCUUUAAACCUCCUCAAUUUCAACAGCUUCUUCCUUAUACUAUGAAAACGACACUUUUAAUGAGAUGAUAAUCGCAUUGAAUAAAACAAACUUAAAGUAUUUGUAAAUAGUGUUAUUCUUAAUCGAUGCGGUAAUCCAAAAAAUCAGUCAUGAAAUUCGCAAUGAAUUUAGAAUAAGAUUAUAUAUGUAUAUAUACUCCAAUAAAAAUCAUAUUAAAACAAUCACAAUUUAUGACAUUCUGAAUAAAUAAAUGACAACACCUCAAUUCAUCCAAAUAAGUAUAACAAACACAACUUAGUGAUUCCAAAAAUCACAAGACUCAAUUCUUUGAUUCCUAGAACCAGGGUGGAUCUCAGAUUCUUUAAAGAGUCUUUGAGCUCAUAUUCCAUGCAAUGAUAUCUCCCUGUCUUUUCUAUCAUAGAUGAAGGUAUCCAGAAUCUCUUCCUCAUCUCAGAUGGAGGUAUCUAUAAUAAUUUUAUUUCCAUGCCAAAUGAAGAUAUCUAUCAUAUAUUUCAAAAUUAUCAAUUUAUGAUAUGAACAAUGUUUCAUUCACAAUUAUAAUUAAAUAAACACACAAAUAUAUAAAUACCAACAUUGUCAUUCACGCACAAGGCACAAACACACUUGUGAGAAAAUACCACAAAGUAACAUCAAUGUUUAUGUGUGUGUGUGUGUGUAUGUAUGUGUAUACCAUUCGUACCCCAAAUUUUCCUUUACCACUAUUAUUCAAAAAUUAAAUAUAAUAUAGUCCAGCAUAAAAAUUAAAAGCAAUUAGACUUAUAUUUAUAUUCAAUGACACAAAUAUUUGAAUGGGAAAAGAACUCUCACACAUCCCCUAUAACAAAUUAAAAUAUCAUUGAAGUUUGUUGUCUUGAGACGAAAUAUUAGUGCAACACACUACAAUACAAAUCAAUUAGUUAAAGAAAUUAUACAUGUUCUAAAAUAUAUUUGAUACUAAUGUAAAUUCUUGAAUUCUUUAUAUCAAGAUCACCACAGAAUAAAACGUUCAUAAGAAUUAUACCUUGAAAGUUUAGAAGAAAGUUAUUUUACUCACUUCUUGAAGCAAGUAAUUCCAAUUCUUUAUUAUCUUUGAAUCAACAAAAUUUUCCUAUUUCUUUCUUCUUCUCAAUCCUUGAGCAACUCACUAAUGUCAAGAGAGAUUGUUUAUUUGUGUGUUUCUAGGAAAAUGAAUGAACUGUCUUAUCCUUAUAUAAGUGUUGUACAGAAUUUGAAAUAAUAUCUUUUGAUAUUUGUUUAACCAACCUUUUUUAUUAUCUUUAACCAAUCUAAUAUAUUAUUAUACUAAUAUCUUUUCAAGAAAUAUAACAAUCUAAUGUAUUAAAACAAUUUAAUUUAUCUCUUUAUUUACUAAAUGAUAUAUUUAAAUAAUCUUUAUCUAAACAUUUAUUGGAUUAUUUUUGGGAUGUUAUAGGAGGAAUUAUUGUUCUAGGCUUCUAACAAUUGUUUAUGACAUUAUUCAUAUUACUCUUCGUCAAAGUUUAUGAGAUGAUUUUAAGUCUCUAGCUUUGGAUAUUGAUAGGGCAUAGGCGGUUGUGGGGGAUUUUAACUCUAUCCUUCAUUCUCAUGAAAGGAAAUGUGACUUUCCUUCUCUAUUUUGUAGAGAUGUUAUAGGUUUUAAUCAAAUGAUGAAGGAUUGUGAGCUCAUUAACAUUGGUUUCUAGGGAUGUCCAUUUACUUGGAAAAGAGAGAAUUUGGAGCAAAGGCUCGAUAGAGUGUUGAUGAAUUUGCAAUGAAGGUUGAAAUUUCAGGAUGCUACGAUUUUCCACUUGCCUCCUUUUAAGUCGGAUCAUAAGCCUUUUUUGAUAAAGUUAGUAGUUAAUGUAGGGAAAAAUAAUCAUAGAAGGUUUUCACUUCAUGGUUGUUUGGGUUACUCAUGAUUAUUUCAAUAAGUUUAUGAGAACUAAUUGGAAACCUUCAAGUUCUUAGAGCCAACAUCUUCAAGAGUAUUUUUUUUGCUUUCUACAAAUUUGUCAUAAGAUAAUAAACAAGCUUUAACAAAAUGAUAAACAACACAUGAGUAUAAAUAAGCUUUAAGUUAGAACAAUCUUGUGUCAGUUGAUCCACGUGCUCGGUAACAAUACAUGUGUUCUUUAAAUAAACAAGAGUCAUGUUCAUAAAUUUUAUAAAAUUAUUAUUUUACAUUUUUACUUAGUUAUUUUAUUAACAUUAAAUUAUUUUUCAAAUUUUAGAGAAUGACAAAUUCAUUACUAUCAUUUUGUUUUUCCAAUUUUUAGAUAUAGUUUUGAUUUGUUGUGGUAUGUCCAUGGGAACAUGUAAGGCAUCUACAGUGUAUGAUUGUUUAUCUUAAUUUUGUAGGUCUUAUAAUUAUUUUUUUUACCGAUUAAAAUGGUAGAAUGGGAAGUCACUCUCAAUACUAUUGGACAAGGCGUCAAUGACAUGUUGGGGCUGCCAGCAUAGGCCCACCUAGAGGACAACCACACAUGUUUGAAUUGCAAGCAGUUACACCCAAUUGCAGUUAGGGUUGUGCAAAAAAAUCCAAAUAUGUAAAACCAAUUCAUAUCCAAUUCAAUCAAAUCCACUUUAAAUCCAUUUAAAUGGUAUGGUUUCAUAUCCAAAUUCUUUUUUUUUUAUUUUAAGUCCAAUCCAAUUAAUUGAAUGUGGAUUAGAUAUUUGUUUGAAUUUUUUAAAUCCAAUACAAUUUUAUGGACGAUGACGGCUAGGUUUUUUUGGCCAACUUCGAUAGGACAUAUUUUUUGGUUGAUGUCGUCUAGAUUUAUUUUGGUUGACAUCAACUGAUGAUGUUUUUAAGUCGUCAUCGGUUGAGACUGUUUUUCGAUUAAUGUCGAUAAGGGGUUUUUUGGCUGACAUUGAUUGAAACUAUUUUUUGACCGAUGUCAUCCAAAGUUUUUUUGGUCAACAUCAGUCGAGACUAUUUUUUGGUCAACGUCAACUAGGGUUUUUUUUGUCAAUGUCUAUUGAGAUUAUUUUUUGCUUAACGUUGGGUAAGUUUUUCGACCAAUAUUGGCUAGGGUUUUUUUUGGUUGACGUCAAAGGAGACUAUUUUUUUACCGACGUCAACUAGAAUUUUUUUGGUCAAUAUUGAUUGACACCGACCAAAAAAACCUAGUCAACAUCGGCCAAAAUAUUCCCUAAUUGAUGUUGGUCGAAAAAACCGAGUUGAUGUCAACAAAAAAAUAUCUCUAGCCAACGCCGACCAAAAGAAAUAGUCAUGGUUGAUGUUGGCCAACAAACCCUAGCUGACAUCAAUAAAAAAAAAUAGUUUCAACCAACGUUAGCAAAGAAACCCAGUCAACGUCGACCAAAAAAUAGUCUUGGCUAAUGUUGUCCAAAAAAUAUCAGCGACCGACAUCGACCAAAAAACACCUUACCGAUGUCGGCCACAAAAACCCUAACCAAUGUCACCAAAAAAAUAGUCACGAUCGACACUGAUUGAAAACCCUUUGUCAAUGUCGACCAAAAAAUAUCAACGACCGACAUUGACUAAAAACCCUAAUCCACCUCAACCAAAAAAUAGUCCUACUUAAGAUCGGCCAAAAACAUCCUUGACCGACGUCGACCGCAAAAUGCACUGACCAAUGUUAGCUGAAAAAUAAUCAUGGUUGACGUCGGUCUAAAAUUGUUUGGGCCGAUGUCAGCCGAAAUUUCCCUGGUUGAGGUAGGCCGAAAAUACUCUAACCAAGAUCGAUCGAAAAUAAUCUUGACCAAGGUCAGUUGAAAAUAGCUCUUGCUAAAUUUGAUCAAAAACUACAACGACCGACAUUGAUCGAAAACUGUCUCAAUUAACUUCGGGCAAAAAUAGUUUUUGAUCUGAAAACUGGAUUUGUAAUGGCUUCGAAAAAUCCAAAUUGAUUUUUUACAAAAUAUGAAUUUUGAUUUAAAUCCAAUCCAUUUAGUUGAAUAUGAUUUUAAAAUCCAAUUCAUUUAAAUGGAUCUAUAUUGGAUUUCUAAAAAUCCAAUCCAUGCCCACCCCUAGUUGUAGCUACUCAACUAGCUGUAGGCGCCAAAAGAUCUCCUUGAAGAGGGUUUCCCACCAAGCGGAGAAAGAGGCGUCAAGGGAUUCAAACCCACAACCUUACAAUCCCAUAUAGAUUUAAGUAUUUUACAUAAAAUUCGUUCCAAUAUUAAGUUGCUAAAAUGAGUGUUUAACUUAAUUGUGAGUCCUACAAUAAUUGAAAAACAUAUUAUUUAUGAUAUAAAUUUGAUUAAACAACCUUGCGUAUAUAAGCAAUGGUGUUUAUAUGAACAAUUUCAUGUCAUUUGCUCCAAGGAAAAAUAAAAGAAACUUAUUAACAUUGCUUAAAGUUAAACAACUUAUAUAAGCACAUGUAAUAGAAAUGCUCAUAAUAUUUUUUUCAUAACUAACUAUCUUACUCAACAAGUAUAAAAAAUCAUUAAAUAUUUAAAAUACAUUAAAUAUUUUUUUUAUUUAACAGCAAGUCACCACUAAAGACGUAGAUUAAUUGAUUAGGAAUUAUUUCAAUUUAAUUAAUGAUGUCAAGUUUAACUCAUGAAUAUACAAAGGUGAAAUUCCUGUAAAAGGUUCCUCAUGUUUGGUAAAAAAAAAAGAUUUGUAAAACAACAUAACAUUACUCUUUUAUCUAUUGCGAUUUACUUUUGGAGCAGUCACUUGACUAUUAAAUGCACACACUCGUUAAGUUUUGAGAUCUAACACGUUGAAAAUGAGAUCCUAUUGUUAGAGCUUGUGAUCCUAUGUCCUUUACCUCUGUUGUUCCAUGGUUCUAUUCUUAUGUUAGGUUAGAACGUUUGAUCCCUUAUAUUAUGAUGCACCUAAGAGAACCUCUUCAUAUGAAAAAUUCGGAAUUCACUAAGAGUUGAUUACGGCAUGAAGAAAACACUUGUUAUUUCAGUAUACUAUAACUCAUUUCGGCAAAAUAUACCAACAUAAUUAUUCUUAUUCAAAUUUGAUGUCAUGCUUUUAAGUUGUCCUUCAAAUAAAAAUUAUCCCAAACUUUAGAUAAACAAAAGCAUCAACAAAAUAAUCACAACUAAUAAAAUAGUCGUACUUUAUCCCAAUGAGUGUUGUAAAGGUGUACCCAAGCAUAAUUGAGUCCCAAUAUUUUACAAAAAUAAAUACAAGUUGUCAUUAAUAUUAAACAAUAAUUUUGGCAUCAUAAAUUCUUCCGGAAUAAUUAUACAAAAGUGACCAGGGAAAACCCGAUCUGCCAGUUGCCCACUGAAUAAAAACACACAUCAUAUUACUAUGUGUUGUCAUACAUGCAUUGUAAUGAGUGGAUAUUCCAAAGCAAUUGGUCCCUUUAUCCCUCCUUAAUCCUUAUGCCGUAAAUGGCACCAUCCCUUGUAAAUUGUAAUUGCUUCUUCAGAAAUAGAAUUAUACAAAGGUAGUUGCAAUAUCUAUUUGCCAAACUAUAAAUGUAAAGACCCUUCUUCCCAAUCCUAGUAGUGUCCCAAUUGUAUUUACAAAGGUGGGACAAGAUAUGUAUAUACAAGUACAACCAUGUAACAUAAUGUAACAAUAAUCAUACUUUGGUCUUUACUAGUGCACAUUACAGGGAGUUAUUAUGCACUGAAACCCCUUUGCAGAGAACUCCAGGGAUUGGAAGGAAUACUGACACAAGCUUGUGCUGAAGCCUCAGCCAUUUGUUCAUUCUUUAUCCCUACAUUGCAGAUGUUUGCAAAGGACCUCAUGUGUUUCAUCCCGUAUUGAGACAAGGAUCCACAAUGUGUCUCAAAAGUCCUCACCUGCAUUCAAAAUCGAUCAAAAGGUGAAGCAUUUUCUCAUAAACCAAAGUGAACAAGAAGAUGCUCUACAGUAAGCAAGAAAGAGUGUCAAUUCCAUGCUCAAAGUUCGACAAUGUUUGCCCUUGUUAAUGUCUCAUAACAAUGUUUGCACUUGUUCAUGUGUAAAGAGUUUAUUUUUCCAAUUAGAAGCCUUCACAAAGCUCAACUUCAUCAUUGCUUCAAGGGUCAAGCCAAAAAGCAAUGAAUCUAAUUAUAUUAUAGUAGUACUAUAUUUUUAUAGUAAAAAAUAUAUGUACCAAUAAGGUAGGAAGUUUUAUACCACCAACCAAUUAGAAAUUACCAUAUACAGUAAUUUUAUUAACGUUUAUAAUAAUUAUCUUUAAAAGUCAUUCUUAGCAUAAUUUCUAUUUAAGUCACAGUGUAAAACAUCUUUACCUAUCUGAGCAUAGAUUUUAAACUCAUUUUUAUGCCAAAAGUCUAUCUAUCAUAUUGGCUUCAGAACAAAAAUGAUACCAUGGUUUUCAGGCAGUGCCAGUCAUCAACAAGUGCCGAUCCAGCCGGUCUAACAGCGUUGAGUACUUCUGGACCCUUUUCAAUGCCAAAUAAAAGCUUCCCAAUCAGUUUUACACUGUUGUCUACAUGCAUUCUGUGAGACAUUGCUUCCAAAACUUGUUUCUGAGCUGUAUUUUUCCUGAGAGAACCCUCAGGAGCUUUGCGGAACUGGCAAUAAAUAAACAGUGAAGACAGAGUGAAGAUAUACACGAUAUAAUAAGCCAAAUUUAAUGGCACACAGAAUAAAAUGUGGCAUCAGAUUACAAGCUUUAUUUUCUUGUAGUUUUAGCAUUUGGUGCCAAACAUCCAAGGGAAAAGAGGGUUACUAGCAACUCCCCCAUGCUUUAAUAGCAACAAAACAUGAGAUGUACAUAACUUUACAAAUUUAUCGAUUUUACUUCCCAAUUUGUUAUAUCUGACUAGUUAAGUUUUAUUGCAUACAAAUACUCAAAAUAUCUGUUAUGGCAUCCAAUUUAUUAACUAUUCUACUUUACUCUCAACACUCGGCAACAUUAAUUUUCUUUUUAUCCAUAGAAAUUGAAUUCAGGUAUUAGGAGAUUAAGAACAACUCUUGCACACCGCUCAAUCAAUUAAGCUAAUUUAAGCAAACAAUAUGGUUUGUUCCCAUUCUCAGUUCAUCACGUAUGUUCAUUGGUUGUCACUGGUGAGGACAAGAUCAAGAAAUUAAUUCAUAACAUAAAGAAUAAAAAAUAUUGCACAAAUAGGAUACCUUAUCCCAAAAAUGGAUGAGAUCAGCAUCACGUUGGUUGACUGGUUUUGAAGGUGACCAUAAGGAGUUUUCAUCCACAAAAGUGAAAUUAUCAUUAGCAGGAUCUGUACCCAAAUAAUGGAAGAGAACAUCUCUGCUAAGCCCUACAUCACCAUACUGCAUCACGUGAGAGCCAUAGUAUGAAUCUCCAGAUAUAGUCCUCUCUUUAACCUGUAAGCACAAGAGUAAAUAAGACAUCAGUCACACAUUUCUUAACACAAUGUUUGACCCAUAAAAUUAAACCAAAAGUCUAUCUACCAAAAUUAAACCAAGAAUUAUAUUAAAAAAGAAAAAAAAGAGUCCCACUUGUAAGUUGUAACUAAGCAAUCAAGCUAUUGAAUUAUAGUAUUCAAUUUAUAUCAUUUAAUUUACAAAAAUUAAAUCAAGUUAGCAACAAGAACUUACCAAUUUAUAUUGUUGGUGCAGAGUUUCUGUUCGCAAAUUGUGUCUGUCACUGCUCACAAGUAUAGAUAAUUGAAAUUAAAUCCCUCAAAAAUUUACAUUACUUAUAUAAAAUAAAAUUCUUCUGAUCUAAGAAAAAAAUAGCAAGGGCAAAAGUAAAUAAAUAAAUAUAAUUUUAUUAUAAAAAGCUUUUCAAAGUACAAACAAUUGGUAUAUACAACUCUCAGAGAGACAAACACAAUACGGUAGUCAAAGGCAUCGAACUACUCCAUUGUGAUUGCAUUGGUCAUGGGUAUAUAAUAUGUUUGUAAUACAAAAUCAUAACACAAUUAAUAUAUCAAACAUAAUAUUUAACUUGUGUUAUUCUUACAACAUGAUUUUCCAAAGUAUGAAAAUAGACCUAAACAACUGUUAAAAAGUGAUCUAAUAUUAAAUGGUGGCGCCAUGACCCUUAUGACCGAAUGGCGUGACAGAUUUUUUUGCCAACCAUUAUAGGCAAUUUGUGAAGGGAGACCCGUUAUGGCUGCAAGUUUAUAUGGCAAAAUUUUGGCUGCGUGUUGCAUUGAUAACACUAAUUGCAUGACAUUAAUGUCAUUUAUGAUCUAAUUAUGAUUGCUUAUUAUGCACAUACCUGUCUUCCAUCCAAGCAACACUGUACAAGUCACCCAAACAGGUUGUAUAUUCUGGGGGAGGACUAGGAUACUCCCCGGGGCAAUAUGUUCCCCAACUACUUUCUUCUGCAUUGGAAGCAGUGGUUGCAUAAAUAUUGAUAUCUUCAGGAAGAAGACCUUCAAAGAUACUCCCAGAUUCACAUGCCUCCAGAUAAAAUACCUGCACCACCAUUAUUUAAAUCCAAAGAUGAAUUUAGUGUGUGAUUAAAAUAGCUUAUUUUGUAUUCAAAUUUUGUGUUCAAAGCAGCUUGUGAGAGAGCUUUUGGGUGGAAAAAGUAGUUGCCUAAAAAAUAAUCAAAUCCAAACAUGAUAUUAAACAGCUUAAACAGGAUUGAUACCAAAAUUAAGAUGAACUAUUAGUAACUUACUAGGUUUUUAUAUGUUCCAGAAGCAUGCUUUUUCUUCAAGACUUCAAUCAGAUCAUCCGCGUAUAAGUAAGGACCAGCAGGCAUCCCUAAAAUCCAUUUCCAUAUCCAAAAAAAAAAAAAAAAAACAAGUAAGAAAUAGAGCAGAUACUAAUAUUAUUGGUAGGAAGAAUCACUUUGUCAUGCAAUGUUCCAAUAGAAAAUGUUGACAGAAGAGAUAAUGGUCAAAACAUUGGAUAAAAAAAACACUGAAAACCACAUAUCCCACCCCUCUAUCCCUCUUCUUUUUUACUUUUCCUCUGGUAACUGUAAUUUACCCUUCAUGUUAUCCACAUGUAUUGAAAAAGAACUCAAAAAAGAAAUACAAAGAGGCCAUUCAAUCUACUGAAUUAUGGGACAUAAAAAGUCUCUAGAAAAAAAGGGUAACAACAAUAUGAUAUAACGGAAAAAUAGGAUUAUAAAAUUAGAAUGCAUGAUUUUUAUUUCAAUACACUUUGAAAUGUGAUCAUUAUAAAUUACUACCUCCGAUCCUAUCUAUAAGAAACAAGUUGUAAUGUAUUUUAUGCUAUAACUUAUUUCUUAUAAAUAAGACCAAAGGUAGUAUAAAUAAAAGUUGUAUUAGGCAUGAUAGAAUGUAUUAUAACCAUAUGUUGAACCAAAGGUAAUGUAAUUAGUUCAACCGAACAACAUUAGUAAACACACUAUUUGUCAGUAACAACCUCAAUCUAGGCCUAUACCAUGCUGAAACCCAUAUAAACAACCAACACAAUCCAAUUCAUGACUUCCAUUAAAAAUUUCUGUGAAAGAAUUCAGAGGAACUAACCGAGCACCCCAGGACCUCCAUGGUCAGUAUAGUAUACAAAUAUAUGAUCAUCAGGACCACUGUCCACAACCUUCCCACUGCCACCAGUCAGUGCUGACUUAUUUCCAAGUAAAGCAGCAAAAAAGUUAUCAACAGUAACAUCUUCGCCGGUGUAAUCCUGCCAUAAAACGGUCCAUAUUAGAACCUAUCAAACUUGAAAAAGCAAAAUACAUCCGCACCCCUUAAGAUUUUUUCAAAUUAGACAUAACAUCACUUUUUUUGUUCUAUUCCCACGCUAAUCUCAUUAUGUAUGAAAAGAUUACACUGCCACCCUUUAUAUGUUACACUAAUACUCCUUAAUCUUUUGAAAAUAUUAUAUUGACAUCCUUUAUAUAUUACACUAAUACUCCUUAAAAAAAAGAUUUUUGUAAUGAUUAAAAAAGCAGAGAGUAUUUGUGUAAUGUCACGAAACCUCAGGAAUAGUUAGUGACCUAGUGUAAUUUAUUCAACUUCAAAUAGCAAUAAAAAAAUAAAAUACAGGAUGUUAAAAAACUAACAUAACUUACCUUUGGAACUCCUUUAUAAACAUCACCUCCAUCUGGUUUGUUAAUGAUGACUCCAGGCCUUGGGUUUUCCCCAUUGAAUGCAAUGUCAUCAUACAUAAAAACAAUAAUAUUUUCUUCUUUCAGACCACCUUUCCUCAAUAUUUGAUAGGCGUGACAAACAUCAGCCUGAUAGAGCAACAAAGACUUAACAUUAAAACUAAACAAUUAAAUACAUACAGAUAAUGGUGAAUUAAAUUAUUAAGGCGUCAAUCAUUUUCAAUUUAGUCAGAGAUAACUUUGUAAAUGAUUUUACGUAAAGAGACUAAAUUGCAAUCGUUUUCAUACGGGACAAAUUGAAAUUGAUUGAGUGUUGCGUAAUGGAUCAAUAAUAUAUUGGUUGAAUUACUCAUUUUAUUUUUAUAGUUUUACAAUUUGUUUUAGUCUUUAUAGUUUUAAAGUGGUUUUUUUAAUCUCUAUAGUUUACAUUUUAAUUCUUUUUUAGUUCCUAUAGUUUAAAAAUAAUCUUUUUAGUCAUAAUAGUUUGUAUUUUAAUUUUCUUUUAGUUCUUAUAGUUUAAAAAUGAUUUUUUUAGUUCUUAUAAUUUCUUUUAAUUAUAUUUUAGUCCUUAUUACAAAAAAAUAAUAAAAAUAAUUAGCUACAAAUUAGUUAUAAAUUAUCAACUAUUUUUUUAUUAUAAAUUAUCUUGUGAUAAAUUAAUUACGAAAUACUUGCUAAUAUUUUUGUAGUUAAUUGUAAUUGAUAAUGGUAAGGACUAAAAAGGAAUUAAAAUAUAAAAUAUAAGAAAUAAAAAGAUCAUUUUAAACUAUAUGAACUAAAAGAGAAUUAAAAUACAAACUAUAAAAACUAAAAAAAAUCACUUUCACACUACAAAGACUAAAAAAAAUUAAAAUAUAAACUAUAAAGACUAAAAAAAUCACUUUAAAAUUAUAAGGACUAAAAGAUACAAAUAAUAAAAUUAUAAGGAUCAAAUGAGUAAUUAAACCUAAUUAAACCUAAUUAGGAGUAUAAAAAUGCCACACUUUUUUCUUUUACUACACACGAUCUCUUAUUGAGUGAAAUUUAUCUGGAUCCCAUUGGUAGGUUUCAUUUCUAAGCUUGUGGGACCCCUAGGAAAAAUCAUGUUAGAAAUACUCAAUAAGAGAAUAUUUCAAACAGUCCUUUUUAGCAGUGUCUUACAGUUAGUUACUUCUAAUCACUGUCUUCAUAAAAAAACUACACCUAUGUCUCUUGUAGCUCCUUUACUAUGCAUAUGGACCUUCUAUUAAAAUAGGGUAGAUUUCUGUAACUUUUCAAAAACAAUAUAUGUCAACUAUAAGAAUAAUAGGAAUAUAUAAAGGGAGAUAGUUGCAAUUUUUUAAGAAGUGCACAAGUGUGUAAUUAUUCCUAUAUUUUAACUUAAAAUUAAAAGCCAACAGCUAAGGUUGGUAUUUUCCAAAAGAACUUCUAUGGUUAUAACAAUAAGUUAGCAAGAACCCAGAACAGGUUCUUAGCCCAACUGAAUCACUCAACAAAAAAAUGCUACGGUAUGCAUGUCUCACUUCUCUCCACCAUAUUUUCAUACACCAUCACCACAAGGAAGAGAUUACUUGAAAUCAUUAAAGCAAAUAAUAAUAAUAAUAAUAAUAAUAAUAAUAAUAAUAAUAAUAUAUUGUCAAUGUAAAUGCUGUCAAUUUAUAAGAUUUAUGAUUGGAUGAAAGUAUUUUAUACUGUUGGUGUAAAAACUAUUUUUUCUGACAAUAAAAAAAAACUUGAAAUCAUGAGAGAUUAUAGGUGUCAAUUUUAAGUUGAAUAUACUUAGAGUAAACCAGAUUUUCAUAUGAUUGAAAAUUGCUGUCGCUGUAAUAGUUAUUUGUGGUAAAGAACGUACUCACUGAAGAGUCCUAAUCUCGGUUAAGUUCUGUCGUGAUCAAAGAAAAUCACACCUAUUUAUAUGAUUUCUAGAAAUUAUUAUAUUAGCUAUUUAUUAGGUCCAAAUAUCAGAGGUCCACUUGUACUCAACAAGACAGUUCACAGUUUCUUGAAUAUCAAGCCUGACAGGUGUGGACGUUAAUUCAGUUGGAUGAUUCACAAUUGGAUGACUUUUUAUUUUAUUUUUAUUUGUUGGUGAAGAGUAUCUAUAAAUUUUAUUAAUAACUAUUUUCUGUCAAAUAAAUAUGAUUAACCAUUUUUAGUGGAAUCUCCCACACUUAUAUUUCUUUAAUCUAAAGAAAUUAAACCCGAGAAACUGAGAACUUACUUAAGAGAGAAGAAAAACAUAAAAAUUGAAGUGGCAUGCAUGUGUAUAAGAGAUGGACCUGAUGUCUGUAAUUCCAGUAACCAUUGGAACCGGCGAGGAGGACGGCCCACCGGGUGCCCUUGAAGUUGUCGUCGUUAUCAGUUUCGGAGGGCAGCCGGAGAAAGUCUCCGACGAGGUCACGGCGGCCGGAGACAGAGGUGGCGAAGGCUAUGAGAAGGAGGAGGAGCGUUGGAAGAAAAAAAGUGGGCAUUUUGGAAAGCAGUGAAGGAAACAGGAAGAGGCAAGUGGAUUUAAAUAGAGAAAGAUUCAUUGAGAUGAGAGGUUGGAGUGGCGUGUGGGGUGAGAAUUGAGAUGAGAAACGUUCUUUGGGAAGUUUCAUUGUAGGACCACUUUACCUUUUUCGCUGACGUUAUCGAUAGCGCUUCAUGUUCCUCCAUUCUCACUAUCUUAUUAUCAUCGUAAAUGGUUUAAAAAAAACUCAGCAAUAAUUUAUAAAUAAGAAUAUUGUCCCUAGAUUCUCUCUAUAGCCGUUUAGGAUUAGGAUCUGGCCUUAGAAUCAUAAAUCCAACAAAUGUGUGGAUCUCUUAUCCACAAACUAAAUAGGUGAAUUAUUUAGGUGUUAAUUAAAUCUCAUACUUUGUUUCAGCCACAACAAAUUUCAUGAGAUUCAUCAUUAUUAGAGAUAUUUUUCACAUCUUAUCAAAUAAGAAACAUCAUUAUGAUUUAUAGGAAAUAAUAUAAUAAGUAAAUAAUGAAAAUGCACAUCAAAGUUUUGUUCAUGAAAAGAUUCUACUUUAAUAUUUCUCUUCUUUGGACUGUGUUAGAAAAAUAUAAAUUAUCUAUUUUAUAUAUAUAAAUGAUGUAUAAAUAUAUUAAUAUUUAACUUAUUUUAAUAUGCAAAAAAACUUAUUUUAAAAAUUAAAAAGUUAUACAAUAUAUUUUAUAUUUGUCAACUAAUAUUUUAAAAACACUAAUUAACGCAAAAUAUUAUCAAAUAUUAAUUAUCAAUAAAAAAAAAGUUUUCAUUUUUUACUGAUUGUGAAAAAAUGAUUAUUUUUUAAAAAAAUAAAUAGCUAUAAUUACUUUUACAAUUUAUUCUGACUGGUACUUUUAUAAUUUAAUUUAAAUUGAAUUUAUUCUUUUCUCAGUUUAUCAUCAUCUAUCAUAAUAAAAACAAAAUUCGUAUUAUUUUCGUGCUAUUAGUUUCUACUUCGAUAGAUUUAAAGAAUUUAUUUUUUAUCUAAUAAUUGUGAGUAUGUGAUAAAAUUACAUUUAUAUCUAAUAAUUUUGUUUUAUUCUGGAAAGGAGGGAAUGGUAACCCCUCAGAUACUAUUAAAAAACUCUUGAGAGCAAAACAGAUCUAGCAUCAGCAAAUAAAGGCAUUACAAUGAAAGAAUUAACUACAUCAAAAAUUCUAUUUGUGUCAACAAAUAAAAUCAAAUUUGAUUAGACAUUAUUUUCAAUUCUCACAAAUAAAAAAAAUAAAAAAAGAUAAAACCAAAUUCGGCUAAAUGAUGGGCCACUUGGUUUGCCUCUCCAAGUGAAACAGUCCCUUGCAUAUUAAAAGCUGUGAUUCUCUUCACUAUGGAGUAAUAAACAUGAGCCUCCUCACUACUCUGAUGAUAUCUAAUAAUAUGUUAUUAACUUAUUUUAUAAAUUUGAUAUAUAAUUAAAGUUAGUAAACAAAGUAUGAAUAAAAUUAAAACUCUAACUGUCAUUUAACACUUGAUUAUCUUAAUUAAGGUCGGGAAUUUGAUUCUCAACUUAAAAUGAAAAUUACAAUUAAAAAUAUCAUUUUACCUAAAAACAGAUGGACCGAAUAGGAAAGAAAUUAGUUAGGUGUUAAAAAAACUAUAUUUUCAUAUCUGUAAUGUAUCAAUCAUAUUUCACAUUAUAAUAAAAAUUUAAGAAUACAUAACAAGUAUGUUAUUCUAUAAAAAAAAAAGUAUGUUAUUAAUUAAUAAUUGAUGAACGUAGCUUUCUCUUUUAAGAAUCGGGAAUUUAUAUUAAUGUAAAUAUGUAAUGUGUAUGUUUUGCCAAGUAGUGUUUAAUUUUAUAUCUUUUUAAUUGAUUAAAUUAUUUCUUGAUGAUAUUUUAAAUGAUUAUAUUAGGUCUAAGAUUCAAUUCGAUAAAACAAAAGAAAUAAAACACACCAAAAAUUAAAGUUGAACCAACUAAAAUGUGAGAAUUAAAAUUGUGGAAAAAAAUAAAGAGACUAAGAUUGCAAAUGAAAUUUUAUAAAUAAAAAAAAUUGCAAAUGAAGAACUAAAGAGGACUAAAAUUGCAAUUUAGUCAAAUAAAAACCACUAGUUUAUAUUAAUAUUGAAAAUAUUAAUAAUAAAAAAUCUAAUAUAAUUUCUUAGUUGAUGAUUUCAGAAAAAAAUCCUAUUUGAUAAUAUAAUAAAACUCUCCUUGAAAUGAAACUUUUGUGUAAAAAAAAUUAACAAUACUUAUUGAAAAAAAUGAUUAUGUAUUCACAGUAUAAAAUUUUUUAUAUAAUUAUCUAAUCAUAAUUUAUUAUAUAUAAUAAGUUUAUUCAUUUUUAAAAAAAUUAUCUUAAAAUAAUUUAACGAGUGAUUUGUAAUUUAGUAUGAAUGCAUACAUUAAAUAAUUCCUAUUUAUUUAAAAAUUAAAUCUUUUUUUUUUCAGAAGAAUUAAAUAUUUUCUAAUAAAUAUUUCUGCAUAUAGACGAACAUAGAUCCAUUAACCACAUAGUUAACUGCAUGAAUAGCAUUUGAUUCGCUCAGCAAUCAAGCAAAAGAUAGUCUACCAUUAGAGUGCUUCUAUAUCAUUGGCUGUUGCCUUCUGCAUUAUUGGCAUUUCAAUAGAUAUUUAUCUUUUCUAAUGGAAUAUGUUACAUUUAUUUUCAUUGUUUAUUUUGGAUGGGACUUUUGAAUCUGAAUCUGAAUCCGAAUCUGAAUCUUAAACUACGUAGACUGGUCCGCAACCGCAACCCGGAGAUAUUUUUAUAAACUAUUAUUAUCAUUAGCUGAAAAAUAUACAUUCCAUGUCUUGCAUCUUAAUUAGAUAAUAAAUAUUUAUGAUUGUGAGGGAUUUUUAAAAGUAAUUGAAGAAUAAAUUAAGAAUAAUAAAUAUAUACACCAAAUGAAAUAAUUAUUUUUUUGUUAUUAUUAUUGUUGACAUAAUGCUAACGUCAUGAAUUAUUAUUGAUAAUUUUCCUUCUCCAAAAUAUUACUUUUACGUAACCGGUACUAAUAAUAAUAAUAUUGGUCAUCGAUUACUUUAUUUCCCCUUAUCUUUUUUAUUUUAAUAAGAUUUUAAAAACUUAAUAAUUUCAUAAUUUUUAAAUCAGGGUUAAACUAUUUAGUAUUUAAAUUUUUCCGGAAAAAAUAAUUUUAUACGUUUGCUAUUCAUGUGAUUAAUAUUAUCUUUGAAUAUAUAUAUAUAUAUAUAUAUAUAUAUAUAUAUAUAUAUAUUAACUUUAAAUUUUUUUAUUUUGAAUAAAUAAUUAUUUUUGUUUUUAGAUGUGUAAUUUGAUAACAAUUUAGUCAUUAAAACAACAAAAAUUCUUAUUUUAAUAUUUAAAUACUUUUUAAUAUUAUGGUUAGUGUGGAAAAACUAGUCCAUGGUGGGAGAAUAGUUUAGAAAUGACAAUUAUUUUUAAUCAAUGAAUGACAUUUUUUGUUAUUAUCUUUCUAUAAUAUCUCUUUCUCCCUCGUUUUCCAACCCUUUUUCUAUAACGCCUAAUCAUGUAUCGCAAUCCUAAAGGACUAAUUGGAGAAAGGUACACUGGAUGAGGAAAGGAAAAAUGAAAGGUGGUGGCACUACAACACUUUUCCCAUCAAUGUCAAUGACAACAACUAUAUUGUAUAAGUGAAAGAAAACCUACAAACCUAAUGUCUUAAGGUUUUGGAUUGAAGUGUGGUAUCAAAUUCACUUGAGUGAUUUUCUCGUGGCUCGACAUCAUUGAAGAUCUCUUGAAGUUUUAUCCACUUUGAAUUCUUAACAAGUGAUAUCAAAAUUGAUGGUUUGAUUAACUAUCUGACUCAAAUGAGAAUAAUGGAAUUAGUGGUGGAUCCAACUAUGGGAAUUUCUUGUAUUGAAAGUCUUCCUAACAAUGAAUCCAAUUAUGAAAAAUCGAAAGUCUCCAUGACAAUGUGGAGGUCAAGUGACGUGUUCCAUUGGAUAACGACAAUGCAAGUACUUGGACUAUAUUCAUAACAAUGAAUGAGCUCAAGGGGCCUAACAAGCAGUGCAAAUAUUUAGAGCAUAUUAACAGUAAUAGGGCCACCAUUGAAUACUCAAAGGUGAAAAAAGGUUUUUUGUUAAGGGGGAGCAUAUCACGUUAAAAAAACUUACACUUGAAGGAGAUAUUGUUGUGGUAGAAAUUUGAAGAUAAAGUCUCACAUUGAGUAAGAAUGAACAAGUUGAAUAACUUAUGAGUGAGAAAGAUCCACGAACCUAAUGCCUUAAGGUUUUGGUUUGAAAUGUGGUGUCGAUUUCACUUGUAUGGUUUGUUCAUGAAUCAUAGGUGAAGAUCUCUCUGAGUUUUACCCCCUUUGAAUUCUCACCAAAAGGAAGGUCAAUGCCCCAACAUUUAUCUUCUUCCAUGAGAAAAAGAUAGUUUAUGAUAAAAUAAAGAAUACUCCAUUUGCACCUUGUCUACUUGAUUGAUAUAAUAUUUUCUCAUGGCCUACACUAAUAAAUGACUUAAGAAGGAAAAAUCCAAUUUAGUGUGUCGUAUAUCAAACAACCAAGGAUUACAACUAUAAGCCUAUUUGUUGUGAAACUCAAGGGGAUAAAUACCAGAGAGAUUUUUACCAAUGGACCAUGAGUAACCAUAUAAGUAAAUUUAACAUUAUACUUUAACCCAAAACUUUAAGGCUUAAGUUUAUGGGUCUUAUACUCACUUACAUGAUGUUCAAACUUCUCAUUCCUACCCGAUGUGAGACUUCACCUCACACUUGUAUUCUAACAUUAUUAAUGAUCAUAAGAAUUUUUCCUUCUGUCCUUAUCUUGUUUGUGUCAAUGAAAGGAAAAGAGAGAUGAAGAGAAUAUAGAAAAAAUAGUCACCACCUUAUGAAAUAUAUGACAAAUAAAGUUUUGAACUCAUUAAAGAAUACAAUUUAACAAUUUUUCAUGUUUAAUGGUAGCUCAGUUCAACAAAUAACACAUCAAUAAAAAUGUGAAACUUAUGACAAAUUAUCUCAUCCCUUAAGCAUGUGGUUAUAAGUUUGAUCUCUAGUUCGUGCAUAUAAAGAAAAAAAAUCUGUUGAAAGAGGUCAACUGCUUAAAUGAAUUUCAAUAUCUUGAGAGAUUAAUUAUUGACUUUUGAUCGAAAGAUACAUUGGUUCACACAUAAAAAAUAUUUAGACUUAGAAUGCAAAAAAAAAAAUGCAAAUGUUUAGUUGCAUCUCUACUAAUUUUCAUUCUUAUCCUAUUUCAUGUCCUUUUAAACCUUUUUCAUAUACUUACACUUUUAUUAUUGAAAAAAAUAUAUAUCUCCUUUCUUUAUUUUAUAUAUUAUAUUUAUACAUUAAUAUCUUUUAUUUAUUAAAUUUACAAAUUUAAUUAAUAAAACAACUAGGAAGGUACACAAGAAAUAGGUAUAUGUUUAAGAAUUUAAUUUAUCAAUUACAAAAUAUAUAUUUUAAAUGAAUUAUAAUAAAAGUUGAUAAUUUUUUAAUAUGACAAUUUAUAUUUUAAUCAGUGUAAAUUUUAAGUGUUUAAUUUAUAGUAAAAUAUUCUUACGCAAAUAUUCAAUAAGAAUUCAUCUUAUUACCAAUUUACCAUUAGUGAAAAGUAUGAUAAAAUAAUUAAAUUAUACUACCUUUUGUGUUAAAAGUUUAAUACUAACCGAAUAUAAAAUUAAAGUCAAAUCUUAAAUAUAUACUUUUUAAAAACUUAUUAGUGUUUUUUAUGCUUUGUGAAUAUAAAAUAAAUUAUACUCUUAAUUAACAUAAAAUGAAAUCAUCUGAUGGAGUACAAGUGUUUAAUAUGUUGAAGUUAAAAUUAAAUAAUUUUAGUAGUAUUUGAGUUUGAUCUUUAACAUAAAUAAUUUUUUAUUAAACUCAAUUUACCUCUCAACUUUGGAUAAUAAACUAAAAUUAUUUAUUUAAAAAAUAGAGAAACUAAUGUCUUGAUUUAGAAAUAAAAGAAACAAAAUUACCAUUCAACCUUUUAAAAUACACCAUUCUUUAUAGUAUAUUUUUCAUUUAAUAAUUUAAGGAAACAUAUUGAAUUAGGAUAAUAUGAGUCUCUUUUUCUUAAAGAAUCAUAAAGUUAAAACCAAAAAAAUAAUACACAAAAUGAGUUAGAAUUGAAAAACUAUUUUCUGGUUUUAUUUUUUAACAUUAUAAUUAUUAAAACUAAUUAAUGGUAACGCAGUCAAAAGUUAUUCCAUACUUAGAAUUUCUUAAUCAUGAUAUUCAAUCCGGAUAUGGGCAUGGAGUGAUAUGUGAAAGUAUUUUUUUAUCCCCAAAAAAUAAGCCAAUUUGAUAAGAGGGAAAUUACACUUUUGGGUUAUACUAAUAAAAUAAAAAUUAAAGAUAAAGCAUUAAGAUGUGCGUAAUUACCCUAAACUUGAAGUUAAGUCGGCGAUAUCAACACAGAGCGGCAUGAAUUGAACUGAAACAGAGAUAUCCUAUAAAACAGAGAGACAGGGCUAGCUAGGUACAGAAUACUGGUAGAUAAACAUAAAAACAAAACCUUUUAUUUCAUCGUUUUGCGUUUUGCGUGAAGAUUAUUAGAGUUGUUGGGUGCGCUUGAUAUGGAGAAUGGGGAGAACAUUCUCGAUGCCAUCUUCCAAGACGAAAACUUGGAGGACGAUGUUGAGAUGAUUGACGUUGAAGAAGGGGAAUUGGUUGAGCUGAACGAUUCCCAAAACGGCGUCGUAGAGGCGGAUAACAAAAAACCGCACAGUAAGAAGCGCAGGCGCAGAGGUAACAAGAGAAAUAAGAAGAAGAAUUCAGGAACAACCGGUGCCAUUGACAUUGACAGGUUUUAGUUUUCAACUCUCUUCCUUAUUUCAAACCGUUUUUAUUUUUAUUUUGUUUUUUAUUGUUUAUCGUCUAGGCCUAGGGAGACAGAAAAUAAAAACCAAGAGUUGCGUUACGUUCACGAGACUACUUCAGUUACCUGACGCUUCUUUUAUUUUUUUUUAUCCCGUUUGUGUGCAAGAAUGGCUUUAAAAGAGUUCUCUGUGGUUGAAAACGAUGUUUUGAAAGUGAGUUUCAAGAAGUUGGUUUUGGUUGAACAAUUAACAUUUGCCGAUAAAAAAAAUGAGUCUAGUCCCUGAAAAUGUAUUUUUAUUUUUCUUUUUAUCUUAUAAGGGUCCUGUGAAAACCAUGAUUGUGACUUAUGUUCAAAUUGCAAGGUUAUGAGCAUGAGAUAGGGGAUAUAGGCAAGUUGAUGUAAAAUUUUAAAAGUAUAUGUAUACAGGAAAUGGAAUUUUAUAUAACCAUGAUUAGAUUGUAUAAAUGACACAAAUAGUUAGAUUUCAACGCAAUGGAUUCAAGUUAGGAUAUUACAGCACCAUACACGACCAACCAUUCCUUUGGGCUUUGGUUUCAAGUUAUAUAUACUUAUCUUGUAAGGAAUCAAAUUAUCAAAGCUUUAUUUUCCAACAUUUGACUUAGGAGUAUCUACGAGUAACCAACAACAUAAAUACAGGUACCUACUCAGUACAGUAUUUGUACAGUUCGACUUUAAGAGUACUUGAGCUAUGCCGUGGGUAAAAUUGACCAGAAUUGAUGUAGGAUUAAGAGAAAAUAAUUCGCCUUUUCAAAAAUGUAAAAUUGAUUCAAGAUAUACAACCCACAGUUUUUAAAAGUAUACUUAUGUAUAUGCUUGAAAAAUAGUUCUGCCUUAUUAUCCAAACAGAAACCAAUUAUUCUAAACUCACUUUUAAAUUUCAUUUCUAACCACAAAUCAAUUUUUUCAACACAUUCUUUAGACAUCAAUCUUACUGAAGUUUAAACCAAACAGACCCAAAAUUAACCAAACACAUGAUUACUAUGCACUAGCCAUUUUCUCAUGGCUAAAGUGAUUCUUUCGUGGAAUCACAUCCCCCCGGUUUCUCUACAACAGUUGCACCUACAGCUAGGAGAGAAAAAAAAAAGGGUCCAAGUGGGACCCACCUGAUUAAUGGGUCUAACCUAUAUUUUUUUUCUCUUCUUGCUAUAUGGUAUACUGGCUAAAGAGGAUCCACGUCCAUCAUGAAUUGAAGCAUAGCCCAUUGCUCUUAUCUUAUCCAUGUAAAAUAGUGAAUGGCCUUAUAGCCCAGUGCAUGAGGCUCCCAUCUAAUGGGGAAAGAGAAAGGUUGAUGUACGCAACCUUUAAAAGUUGGAGGUUGUUUUCAGGAUUUAAACUAUGAUCUCCUGGUCACAAGACAGCUGAAACCUUAUCGUCCUUAAUCCUUAUCUUCAAAAAAUACCCAAAUGAAUAUUAUAAUUUCUAAUGAAUUUAGUUCCCUUUUCAGGUUUGUGAUAAAUACAUGUCGGCGUCUGAAAGAGAAAAAGUCAUACAUGGUGUAUACAGCUGUUGCUUGCCUUGGAGUUUGUGCAUUGAGUGAUCUCAUCAAUGAGGUAUUCGAACCCUAUCAUGCAUUGCAAUGUUGUUUUCAUGUUGAAAGCUUUUUUUCUUUAUACUUAGUCUAUACAGCUUUCAAUGAAAUAUCAUGGUCGUUUGGAGGUUGGAAAACAAUUUAUGAACAGCUAAUGCUAUUUUGGUAUUGGAAUGUACUGACUUGACUGACUUCUGAAAUGUUUUCUGUUCACCUUCUUGCACUAAUUUAAUAAUUCCAAAUUUUCUGUUCUUCUAAUUGUAUUUCUUGCUAUUUGCUAAUAAUGAUUGGAUAUGGUGAUUUGAAUUUGGUGGAUUACACUUUGCCAGUGACUUAUGGUUCUCAGGGCCGGUCCAUUAUGACUUUUAAAGCUGAAGCUUUAGGCCCACCAAUAAAAAAUUAUUUUCUUUUAGUUUUAAUAAAGCAAAAAAUGCCACAUAUGCUGGCAAAAAGUUCCAACAUAGAGUUCUCUCAUUUAAGGUAAAACAUUUAUUUUCAAAGUUUGUUUUAGGUUUCUCUCAUCAUUGGGCUGGCCAUAAUGGUUCUCUACAUCACCAAUACUGCUAUUGAUACAUUUAUGGAUAUUCAUAUUCUUGGCUUGUCACCGGCUCUCUAGCCUCUCGUUGUUUCUCUCCUGCAGGACUGUGCAUUGCACUUUUUAGAAAUAAAUUGUUCCUUUUUUUUUUGUUUCCUUUUAAUAUCUUCCUAACUCAAACAGAGAUGUGGCUUUUGCUUGUCUGUUGUAAGGAAAGGUGAGAGUUGAGAUUCUACUUGAUUUGGAUCAGCCUUGAGCUGAUUAUGCUUAUCCACUCCUCAUAGCGCCAUACAACCAUUCAUAAUUCUGAUGCGUACAAUGUUGUAUCUAACAUUGCAGAUUUUACAGAGAUCAUUUCAAUCUCCUGUCUGAGCUUUGAUGUUCCUGGCUGAUGAACCACUUCAAUUAUUUAAUUAUUUUGAAGGUCGACAUCUAUUUCUUCUCUUUAUCUUGCUCUCCUAAAUGGAGCAGCUGACAAAGUCAGAGCCAAAAUUGGAUCUCUCUAGAUAUGCAUAAUAUUAUUUUAUUGAGGGCUGUCUAAAUUUCAUAUGGCAGGAUCUUUAAAGAUAAUAUUUUUGGUUAUGAACAUGCUAGGCAGCAUCAAGCAUUUUUCUUAUGACCAGGAUGGCCAGCAUUUUGUUUAGUGUGAGGGAUUACCCUAAUAAAUGCAGGAGAAUCACACUGAACUGAAGGUUGUAUUUAACUGAGCACAUAACUCAUAGCUUCUCUCCAGGAUCUCUGCAUUCGUUUGCUUAAAUUUUGGAAUAUUUUGGGUCAUGAACAUAUUAGCUCUUUGUUUCUACUGUUUUCAUUUUGAUUUAAUGAAUUUAAGAUUAUUUGCAGCUUAUACCAUGAAUCACAGUGGAUGAUGUACAUUAUUUCUGUAUUAUUUAUAAAUGAGAUAUUGCUGACUAGAACCUCAUAAUGAAUGGGCUUGUUUUUGUAUUUUUAAUUGUUUUUGGUAUUCUUUUCCCAUCUGUCCAAUUUGAUACACGUCAUAAACUUCAAUAAUCGAGUGUGAAAGUCACAGGUGGAGGCUAUACAGGCUUGUGGAGGCCAGAUGACUGUUGAUGGUAGGCGAUUUCGAACAGGGGGUGGUGUAUUGUGGAGUAUCAUUAAGGUUCGCGAACCAAAUGCUUACAAAGAGAUAAUAAAGAAAGCAAAGGAGUUUGAGGUGUGGGAUUGACCUUUCUGUUUUUUUAGUGUUUUAACACAUCUCUUUCUGUAUUUAUGUUCCUUGUAUUCAAUGGAAACAGUUAAGUUUGUUAUGGAUGCACCUACUGUCUAGAACUUGAGCAAGGGGCAAGAAAUUGUUAUUUAUGAUCCUAUGAUGAAGGUGGAUAUUGGAGAAGGGAUGGGUAAAAUAGAUAGUGAAGUGAAUCUAGUCAUGUACAAGGAAAGGGAUAUUCAAAACUGCAUUAAACUCUAUUUGGUGGGAGGAGAGAGAAGGUGAGAAGCAGGAUGGAGUUUUGGUUAGAGGGGACUGAUUAAAAAGUGAAGGGAAAAGGGAGGAUAGUAAGGAAGAAUUCAGUGAGUUUGGAUAGCAGACACACGAAAUGUUACUCUUUCUUUUCUUUCUUUUUCAGUUCAUAUAGUGAGAGUUGUGUAUAAAUAUAGGUCUUCCCCUAACCAAGGUCAUUCAUAUCAUCAUUUGCUUCUUAUUAAUUAGUUUCUCGUUUAUAAUAAUGCAGAAGCAAUUCAGGCAGCCAAAUGUGAAGCAGCCACCUGUGCAAAAGAAAGAGGAUUCUUUUCAAGGGGAUGACACCUCUACAUUUGCUAGCGGUCAUCAGGGCACUGUUUCUGACAAAUCCUUUUCUGCAUUGCAAAUGCAAGAUCGACAACAUAAACCAUCAGGUUCUGAAGAGAAACGUAACUCUGUUCAUGACAGAUUAAGGAUACAUGUUUCUUAUGAUGAUGAUCUGCUUGGAUUAAGUGCAGAUAAUGACACAGCCUGACCCUGGAUGAAAAGAAACCUUCAUCCUGUCACAGUUUUAUUUUUCUUUCAUCAUAGAUUGCAGUCUGCUGAUGCAACUAAUCCUCAUUCUCCCUUUUUCACAUUUUACAUUACAACCUUCUGUCUUCUGUUCUAUCUUUUUGCUCUUUCACCCUUGUUUCUUUUUUCUGUGAAAUAAGUUCACAGAUGGGGCAGUAUUUUCUAUUUGGAUUUUGUUAGGAAGGAUUUUGUCAUGUGUUGAAAGGAGAGGGUAUUUACUAUUGCAUAAGCUUUCUGAUACACUUAAAUGAUAAUAGAAAAUAUUAUAAUGGAAGUUUGUGUUAACUCAUUGGUAAGUGUAAUAAAUUAUCUUAAGUAGCAAAGUAAAAUGGAAGUCCAAGUGUCGAAUUCACAAGAAUUUUAUUUGUAUUUAAAUUAGUGCAAAUCCAAUUUUUAAACAAUUAGAAGAGAUAAAAAAUUGUAAAUAUGAGUAAAAGAUAAGAAAAAAAAAUAAUAAUUUGAAUUCAAAAGAUGAAUUUAGAAUGCAGAUGUGUUGGGUUUUAACAUACUAAAAUUACUUCUGAUGCAGUGUGUUAACAAUUUUUCUGUAUCUAAUGUUAUCUCAAUUUUCACUCACAUUUAUUAUGAUAUUCUAUCUUUAGUUUUGCAUGAAGAGUCUAAUUUAUUUAUUUUUCUCCUUUAAAUUUAUGUGCAAUGAUAAAAAUAAUAAAUUGUAUUAAGAUUAAAGGUGCAUAAAAUAAGCUAAAUAAAUAUCAUUCCAUUCUUAACAAUGAUCUUAUUUAGAUGUCCUUAGUUUUUAGAAAAUAAAAUAAUUAUUUUUCAAUGCAUUAUCUCAUAAAUAAUAUAUGAGCAUGAGUGAUCAGACCAUAAUUAAUAAAUAAUAAAACAUAUAAAAGAAUAAUAAAAACUAGACUGCAUUAAAUAGAUAAUAGAGAAGAAUUAUAUUACAAGAGGUUUGCCUGUCAGGCUUUCAAUAAUGGAGAGGUUUAGUCUUUCAUAGUUAUGAGAGACUUCACACUUUAGGGUUGAUGUGGAUAGAAAAAGAGGGAUGGAUAAAGGAAGGGAAGAGGGGAAUGGUUAUAGAAUGUAGCUUAAAAUUCAUGCGAUCUCGCACUAAGCAGGUCUUCUAGGUUUAACGAGUAUGGCGGCUAAGUGAGAUGUUGCCGUUGGGUCUGUCUUGUGCACUAAGUGAGUUGUUUUAAUUUUCAAUUUUUUUUCAAGAUCCUUCUUCAUGUUUUUACAUCAAUUUUUUUUCUAUAACACUUGUAAUUUUCUUCUUUUCAAUCCUGUUGAUUAAAAAUUAAAAUGAUAUUAAAAUUCUCAUUAUUUCAUUAAAAAAGUAACACGAAAAAUGGAGUAAUUCUAAUCAUUCUUAAUAAAAAAUGACUAUCAAUUAAACACAAUUUUUACCAUUAUUAGUUAUAUUGUUGGUUGAAAGUGUCUGGUUAGUAUCUUAUGAAGAGAUGCUUAAGUUUCUUACGGAGUAUGAAUCGGGAAUUCUUUCUUUCUAGCUGAACCCUCCCAUAGUUUAACUUAAAAGUAAGAACUUAAGAUUACAGAAGGGAUGUGGGAGUCUUUGAUCAUGCCCAAUACUUUUUAAUGGAGUUAAAUAAGUGUAGCUUCUGAAAGAUAAAAUCAUCAUUUAAGUCCUCAAAAUAUGUACUAUACUGUCAAAUUUAUCCUUCAGUUAAAAGUGUUGUGAUUGUGAACUAAUUUGACGGAUGAAAUGCAUUUUGUAUGGUAAUUAUUUUUUAGUGAUUAAUGUGAUUGGGAUUGUGUAUGUGUUUGGAUUCAUAUUAGAUUGUCUAAAAUGAUAUUGAAAUAGCGAUGAAGUUAAUAUGACUUUAGGUGAAUAUUCAAAUUUUUUUCUUGUUAAGUUGAUUUCGAAUCUAAAAUUGGUGUUGAACUAAAGCAAACUCUUGCAUUUGAUUAAAAAAAUUAUACAUUUAGAAUUUCCUUUAAAAUAAGAACAUCUAAAACAUAAAUUUUAAAUAAAAUAAAUUGUAUUAUGAAAUCGCCCACUAAAACACACUCUAUAUCUCAAUGAUUAAUUGUUGCUCUUUCUCAAUUUUUUGCCCCGUGUUACCUAGGCCUAAAUAUGGUUUUGUCUCGGUAAAUUAAUAUCUUUUUUAUUCUUUAUAAGUUUGUAUUUCGUUUUUAAUUUUGAUUCUUAUAAGAUAUUUAAUUUAAUUUUAGUCCCUAUAAAUUUUUGUUUUUAAAAUUUUACUUUCUUUAAUGAUUUUUUGUUUUUAAAAUUUUAGUUUCUUUGAUGAUAAAUUUAUGAAAAUUAUAAAUGAAAAAGUUAGAAUACUAAAGGAAUUAAAAUUGAAAAAAAUAUAAACUUACAUAAAUUAAAAAAUAAACAAAAAAAUUUAUAAGAAUCAAAAUUAAAAACCAUCAACUUACGGAACUAAAAUUAGAAAACUAAACUUACAAUAAUAAUAAUAAUAAUAAUUAACUCACAGAAAUAAAAAAAAAAAAAAAACAAAUUUAAGCCUCACCAUAAUUGUGGCCGUUUUACAAUGCAUUGAAGCUACUAGCAAGGCUUUAUGUCUAGAAUAUCAAUCAGUUAAGGGGCAUUUAAGUUAGUUUUCUCAUGCCCCAAGUUGUGAUUUCUUGUGCAGGAUGAGGCAAACCACAGUGCAGUCAUCUGCCAUAUAGGAAGGAUACUUCUCGUUCCAUGCAGCAGUGGCUGCUUCCACUACUGCCUCUUCACUGUCUACACCCCACACAAUUGAUGCAACCUCAUUGUUGCUUAGUACAUCCCACACCUAUUUACAGGAAAAGAACAAAAAAGUUUAGAAAAAAAUGCUUGUGCAAAAAGGAUACUUCAUUAAUCAAUUUCACACAGAUAAUUUUUUCUUACAAAAAAUAUACUUGGUGCUAGUAGUUUAGACAGGUGUACAACGUUAGUUUUCUUCUUGAAAUUAGUAUAGAACAUAAUUUAGGAAUAAUAAGUUGGUAUAUACCAUAUAGCUCAUUACUGUGGCUUCUGUCGCAAGUAAUUUAAGAACCUUGCUGAGUGAUAGUAGCCAAAGUUAAGAAUUAAAUUAUUUUUUUUUAAUGUUAAGAACCGUGCUGACUGAUAGUAGCCAAAGUUAAUUUUAUUUUAUAAAAAAUAUCAAAGAGCAUGUUAACUAACUAGUUUUUUUUUAAUAUAAACCACAAAUAUUUUUUAAAAGAGACAAUUUUGUCCGAGUCAAAUAAGAUGAAAAGCUUUUACUUCAAGUAUUUAUAGUAGUUGCAUUUUUUCAAAACUUGAGCUAGAGAGUUGCGAUGACUACUUAUUAAGUUAAAACAAUCUUCUAUUAAUUCAUCCACAGUCCACACACUAUAUCAACUAGUUAGUGAUGCCAAAUUUUCUACCAAAUUGAUCUUUUAGAGGUUUAGACCUCAAGAAAAGUGAUGUCCUGAAAAAAGAAACUGCAUAAUAAGAAGAUUCUUACGAGGUAAUUCCGGCUUCAAAUCUGUGGUCAAUUGAAUGGCCAUGAGUUUUUUCAUCACAGAUUGUUCCCAAUACUGCUCUUGAGUCACCCAGAUUAGCAAUGACAAGACCUUCACCCUAUGUAUUGUUAUUGUUACAUUAUGUUCUUUUUCCCUAUAUUGAACAUGAAAACUAUGGGAAGGUCCAUUUACCUGUGUUUUAUGAUAACUACAGCAGUGGUUCCACUGCUAGAGCAAUCUAAAUUCUUUUGAAGCUUCACCUCCUUGUCCAUCACCUUGAAAGCACUUAAAAUUGCUUCUUUCCAUUUCUUGCAGCCGAUUCCUCUUUUACUGUGUCAACAUGGUUUUUUGUGGUGUACUAACCAUUCUCUAUUGCAUCAAUCUUUUCAAGAACAUUCUUUUGGUCCAGUAUGAGGGAAGAUAAACGACUGCUUACUAUUUUGCUCACUUUGUGUCCAUUCCCUCCAUGCUCAUCAUAAACUCCAAAAAAUGUUCCAUCUUCCAUCCCAUAACCCUUUUGGGAAAAAAAAGGAAAAGAAAAGAAAAAAAAAAGGGAUGUUCCAUUGAUUUUAUGUGCUCCACAAAUCUUAAUUAGUUACAGAAGAAUGACUAAUAAAACAAACAAUAAUGUGUUUGAAUUUCAUUUAGAAUGUGCGUUAGUUUUUCUGUCAUUCAGUCAUGAUUUAUUACAUAAGACUGUUGAAUUUUGUUAUAAUUGUUUUAAAAAUCAUAUAUCAUUCUUGCAUAAGAUAUGCUAAGUGGGAUUGACUCAUCUAGUUGAGUCUUCUGCUCACACUAAUUGUAAUUUGAUUUGAUUACCAGAUUUUCUCUAUUACUAAACAAAUAAACUCCACUAUAAAUAUUUGCUUAAGUUCGUGGUCUUUCCUAACCUUAUAAGGGGAUGUGUCUUUCUCUAAUAUAAAUUUUAUGCUCCUUUUAUUCAACAUAAAAAAAAUUACACAAGAGUUGUUCCUUGCCAAUACUUGUGAGAUGCCUAAAUGCCAAGAAAUGAAAAAUAGGUGAAAAAUAAAAACAAUUACAAAAAAAAUAUUGUGAAUUAUUUCAUGUGCAAGUAAUGAAACUGUAAGGCAAACCUCGUGAACAGAGGCAGCAUCUUGGUUGAGUCCUUUGCUACCCUGUUGGGAGUAAACAGAGCAAAGUCUCUGACUCUCAUUCGGGACCUUUCUUGCUUGAAAUAUUGUCACAUUAUCAUCGUUAACUCCUUCUGCAACGGAUAUGCAUAUACCCAUUAUUCCACUUGUUCUGCAAUUUUAUUGUUAGAGUGAAAUUAAUCCACCCAAAUAUAUAUAUCAAAUAGUUUGUAAUAAUAAAAUAUAUAAAGAUGCAAGUGUGGCUACCAGUGUCGUAAAGUAUACUUAAAUACAAUUUGACUUUUUAUCAAUGGUUAGUUGUUGAAUUAGGCUGUCCCAAUACUCGCCUUAAGGGCCGUUUUUAGUAUAUAUCUAUUAUUAUUUUAAACCAUGUUAUUAUUUUAUAAUAAUACUGAUGUUAAUAUUUUAAACCAUGCUAUAUUAUCAUUCAUAUAUAAUUGUGACAUAAAUAUUGUUGUAUGAUCCUAUGAGUAGAGCCUAAUACAAUAUAUAUAGUUAGUGACAUGAAUAGAAAGAUUCAUAGUGUCUGAUUCAUGCACGAACAUUGUUGUAACAAUAAGUCAUUAUCAUAUUAUUGGGAUGAAAGAUUUAUUGUUAAAAAUAAUAAUUAAUUUCCAUUGAAGACCAUAAGCCUAUACAAAAUAAAUAUUUUUUUAACAUAUUUUGUUCUAUAUUCAAAAUCAGAAUUUGAACUCUUGAAAACUUAGAUUAAAAACAUAAACGGUCAACCGUUGUCGGUUAUAAGCAACUUAGAGUGCGUCAAAAGCAGUAAAAAAAUAGCCUCGUAUAAAAAAAAACCACGAACAGUUGGCCACAAAACAAAAAGAAAGUUAGGAUCGUCGUCUCCACUGAAAAAAAAAAUAAUAUGAUAUUCACAAUUUCAACGAUAAAUCUUUCUGAGGAAUUUUUUUUCUUCUGGAUAUUCUAAAGAAUUUGUAUCACCGCCCAAGGCAUUGGAUAAUGGGUUUUUUGAAUUGGAUUGUUGAUUUUUUUUUUCCUAAGUGUAUAUAUUUUAUUUGUGUGGCCUUGUUAACAAGCUUGCAUACAUAUGAGAUCAGGUCAUCUGUCUAGUAAAAUAUAUUAAAGACUAAUCAACACUUUAAGUCAAAAAUUAAUUAAGCUUUUAUAUAUACACAAUUAAUUAAAACUUUUCUAUAAUUCUUAAAUAAUUUAAACAAUUCUUAUUGUUUAAUUAGGUUUUUUUCUCAUUUAUAUUAACAUAUUGAGAAUAUAAUAUUAACUAUUUUGCACAAUUUAAAAAUUAUAAAGGCAUGUAUAAAAGAUUUUGAAUGGAAAUAUUAAAUUAAAUUUUGAGCCAAAUUAUCGAAUCAAAUGAAUAAUAUAACUAAGAAUAAAAUAGCAUUUUGAAAGCUGAAAACUAACUUUACAGGUUACUUAAUCACAUUGUGUCUCUCCCCCACAGAUUCAAGAAUUUAUUUAAUUUAAAACUAGAAAGACCGAUUCUCGAAAUGCAUAUAAAAAAGCUUUUAGGGAUGGAAUUCCGUACCUAUACAAAAUAUAAAAAUCAACAACACAUUUUUAUUUAUUUGAAAGUGAAGAACACAAUAUCCAUUACUCCUUUUCUUUCUUUAAUAUGUAAUAUAAAAAAAUUAAGCUGCCACACUCAAAGUUGAUUGAUGUGAUGGAUAAAUGUGGCUUAAUAUUUAGAAUCUUUAAUCUUCUUAUAGCAUCUCUAAUAAAAAAAUUUACUUAAAAGAUCUUAAAUUAUUAUUUUUAGAUCUCACCUGUCAGGUCAAUUUUUAAGAAUUCUUCUUCUAAUUUUUUACUUUAACAGUGAUACCAGUAAGAACUUCAAUUGAAUUUCACAUGUUUCAAAUUUUAUAUUUAUAUGUUUUUGCUUUAAAAUAAUAAUUCAUUUGUAUUUUCACAUUUAAUUAAUAAAUAUACUAAAAAUAUAUAUUCUUAAAGUAUAAUUAGUUUCUCCAAGUUCUACAUUGGUGGAAAUUGAAUAGACCGAAAUCGGUUGGUGAUUCGAGCUCUACAUUAGUGAAAGUACAAUUAGUUUCUCCAGGUUUUACAUGAGUGAAAAUUGAGUAAAUAUGAAGUUGGUUAGUGAUUCGAGCUCUACAUUAGUAGGUUUUACUCCACUAGUAUCCAUUGUAAACCUAUAACAAGGUGGUCCUACAUCGAAAUCAAUUGAGGAUUUUGAAGAUUUUCAAAGGAAGAAGGUGAAUAAUUUUGCAUAAAAUUGUAUGUGAAAUUACUUGAUGGUGGUUGAAACAUAGGAAAAUAAGGUUGGUUUUUGAGAAUUUUGACCGACCGAAGAUUGUUCUGUAACUCUGAUCAGCAAAGCAAUUGACUAGCGAAUAGAUUGUGCAAGUUAUGAACAAAUGACGCAUAAUUUUAUGGCAUUUUGUUGUUCAAUGAGUGCAAUGGUAAAAUUCAACUUCUGAUGCAUUGUACAUAGUAGGAAAUGGUAUUAUUCCAUCUACAAACAAUAGCAAACUGUAAAAAAAAUAAAACUUCUAAACAAAGGUCAUUUCAUAGUCUUUUCAAUUUUUUUGUUUUAAAAAAACAAAAAAUUCAAUCUCUUCAUUUUUAUAUCCCGUAAAAAAAUAUAUUGAUUUUUCACUCACACAACAAUGUUCCUUUCUUUAAAAAAAAAGAAUUAAUAUCAAUUUUGGUUUAUUAAAUUUUAUUUUUACUUCAUUUUGAUACAUUAAAUUUUAAACAUUAUAUUUUCAUUAAAUUUUAAAAUUAUUAAUUUAAAUAAUGACAGCUAAAGCUAAAAAUCGUCACUAUGUAUUUUUAAUAAAAAAAUAAAAAAGGAAAACAAGUAAAGAUUAGUGUUAAAAAUCAUUUCUUUUUCCUGUUCUUGCUUCAAAUUGUUGCAAAGCCCGGGUGCAAAGGCAACAAACAAGCAAAGGUAGGGAGAGAGAGAGAGGUGGCAUCGUUGUUGUACCAUAACAGUUGCAAAGAAAAAAAGAAAGCACUGGCUAGCUUGAGAAUGGAAAAUAAUAAAAGAAAAGCAGAUAUAGUAUUAGAUAACAACUAUUAAUUGUAUGAUGAUAAUUGAUAUCCCACAACAUGUAAGCCUCUUCCCUAUUUUAAUUUCACAAGCAUCACUAGUAUCUCAUCCUAUUGAGCUGAUUGAGUGCAGGCUGCAAGAUGUUGUACAGUGUCCAAGUACCUCAUUACAUCUUUUAAAACAUAAUGUAUCAAAAUAAUGAAACAACCGUACAACUUAAUAAACCAAAUAUAACCUUAAAAAAACAAAACCACCCCAUUUUGGAUUCCCAAAGAUCGCAUGGGGCUGAUGAUGAUGUGCAACACUCCCUUCCCAGAAGCUUGUUUGGUUCGUGAAGAGAGAGGUAAAGUGGAUCCGUGAAAGAAGAAGCAAGCAUUGAUUUUUCAGUUUUGCUUGUUUAGUUGGGAUUAAUUUCUGAGUUUUGAUUUUGGGUUUUUAAUCAUUCAUUUUGAGAUUUCAUUGUGGGUUGCAUUGAUUGUUUGGUUGGGACUAAAUUAUUAAUUGAUUCUGAUUUUUAAUUUUGGGGUUUUUAAUCAUUGAUUUUUACUUCUGACUGUUUAUAUGAUAUGUUGAUUCUGCUCUUUGUAUGAUUUGGGUUUUUUUUCCCUGAUCGAAAGCAACCAUUUUCUCCCUCCUUUUUCUAUUACUUUUAUGGGUAUAUAUCUAUAUAUAUAUAUAUAUAUAUAUAUAUAUAUAUAUAUAUAUAUAUAUAUAUAUAUAUAUAUAUAGGGUUGCUAACGUUGACCUUAGUUGGAAUGUAUGAGCUUCUAACACAAAAAUAUUUAAGAAUUAAAGGUUAUAAAAAUAACCUCUUUAUUUAGAUAAGAUUAAAAAAAAACAUCAAUUUAGAGUAUCCUCUCGUGAAUCAGUAAAUUUGAAUUAAAGAGGAUAUUUACAAGCAAAAUCAUUAAUUAAAUAAUUUAAUUGUCUUUUAUUUAAUUUCCAGCAUCAUAUAACCGAUCACAUAUUACAAAAAUAAGUUUCAUUCCUUUUAAAAGAUUGAUUUUAAAUAUUUUAUUAUUUAGAGUAUGUUUAGAUGGAGAAAUUUAAUAGGAUAAUUCAAUUUUUUUUAAAAAAAAUUAAUUACUUUUCAAUUAAAUAAGGUGUUUGGAUAAAAAAAAUUGAAAAGAAGAUAAAAUUUCAGUAUUUUAUUCAGGUAUUUUAAUUAACUUAAAUAUUAGGAUUUCAAAUUCUUUUAAAAAUUAAAGAAUUUGAAAUUAUUUUGUGAACUUAGGAUGACAUGUUCUCCUUCCUCCAACAAUUUCUCACUCUUCUUUCUCUCAACGUGUUUUCUUCCUCAUUUCACUCUCGGAUCUCUCUCUGCGCUCAAUCUCUCUCUUGCAACAACACUCAAUCUCAAUGUGUUCUUAUCUGAAACACAACUUUUUUGUCUCUGGUUAGUCUCUCUCAUCUAAGUAUUAUAGGGUUUUUUCUUGUUCAUCUUUAUUUCAAUCCUGUUUUUACUAUUUGAUCAUUAAUUUGCAUUUCGUGUCUAUAAUCUAGGGUUUGUAGGUUGUAUUUCUACCAAACUAUGUUGGAUUUGGCUAUAAGAUAUGAUGUUGUUCUUUGCAUGUUGUUGUAGUGACCUUAAGGCAUAGUUUCAUCUGCAUACACCUAAGGUCUUUCAAGGCCUCCACUGUGCCUAUGCUUGAUGCCACUAUCCAAGCUUUGGUUGAUGCACUCAUGGUGUAUGAGAGAGAGAGAUUAGGAAUCAAGAAAGGUCCAAUAAUUUUUGAAGAAGAGCUUAUUUGUCUUAAAAGAUUAAAAAAAAUCAUAAUAAAAACAAAGUUCUAAAGCAAUUGAUAAUGGAAGAUGGAUCAUAGAUUACCUCUUGUCUCAUCAUUCACAGUUUCAUAGGAGGAGCCUAUAAAAAUUCUUAAGGGGUUUCUAGACCAUGAAUGAUAGGAAACAACAGGAUCUUGAACCUAUGGUUCUCACAAAUAAUCAAUAAACGACAAUAGAUAAUGAUGUGUACCUUUCUCCAUAGGAAGACUUGUACCUUUCUCCAUAGGAACUUCUCUCCAGUGCACUUUGAUUUCCUUGAAAGAGGAGAGAAAUAAGAUUUCACUUCCUUAGGCCUUUCUUUUCUGCCUCUCUCCGUUCGUGAUGACUAUGGGUGAGAGAGAACACUUUCUAAUCAGGAAGGGGACCUUAUUUCACGUUAGUGGGUAUUAACCCCCUUUUAUAACCAUUACUCCCAUCAAGUAGCAGUUAGCUCUAGAAACUUCUCCUAUUAAGCCCAAUUACAAUUUAGCCCUUAAUCGUUAAUUAUUUACUUAUUAGUCCUUACAUAAGUCACAUGUCUCUCACAUGAGACAUUAAUUCUUACAUUCUCCCACUUGGCUCAUGUGACAUUAAUAAACAUUAUGGAUUAAAUAAAUAAAUAGAUUAACUAACAUAAUGCGCAUUAAAAAUGACUAAAUUGUUCUGUACAUUGGGUACAUCAUAAUUUCAUGAUCAAGAAUAUGAACCAAUUCGAGUCAUGACGGUUGUACAUCAUCUAAUCGACAUAGUCCCUUCCAUGUACUACAAAUUAGUCUUCUCCUUAAUAUGACUAUUAGUUAGGAGUACAUAAUUGGUCCAAUAUAAUAUCUUCAUUCAAGACAAAACCUGUUAACAUUACUCUAACACAAACAUGCAUGCAAACAUAAAGAACAGGUAAUAAGAAACAUAUCAUAAUUGAGCUCAAAGUGUCAGCAAAAUUACAUAAGGUAAAUUACACUUAAUGAUCAUCAAUUACAAUAAUGCCCAUACUUUCAACAUGUUCUAUAAUGUCUUGGGCAAUAAUCCCUUAUUCAAAGGGUCAACUAUCAUAAGGUUUGUGCUAAUAUGUUCUAUUGACACUCUUUGUUUCUGAACUUCUUCCUUCACGACAAAGUACCUCAAUUUCAUAUGCUUAGCACCCUUAGAGUACUUGUCGUUCUUACAAAAAUAUUGUUGCGGAGUUAUCACAAUACAUUUUCAGCGGCUUAGCAAUACUGUCGACAAUUCCAAGCUCUGAAAUAAAGUUCCGCAACCAAUUAGCCUGAAUUGUACCCUCAAAAUAUACUACAAAUUCAGCUUUCAGAUGCAACAACAACUGAUGCAUACAAAAUUACUUUCAUUUGUUUUCGUUCCAUAUCAUUUCUAGGACAUUGUACGAGACUAACUCUGUCUCAUUUCUAAAUUAGAAUAGGCGAUGUUAAAGACCUUUCCAUCUUGAAUCUCUCUAGCACUUUAUCGAUAUAUAUAUAUAUAUAUAUAUAUAUAUAUAUAUAUAUAUAUAUAUAUAUAUAUAUAUAUAUACUUUCUGAGAUAAGCCUAACAAUCCUUGUGAUCUAUUUUGGAAUAUUUUUAUCCCUAUCACAUAGCUUACCCCACCCAUAUCUUUCACUUCAAAGUUUCUAGAGAGAAAUUUCUUAGUCUCAUGAAGAAGACCAAGAUCGUUAGUUGCAAGCAAGAUAUCAUCAAUAUACAGAAUUAGAAAAUAACCUUACUCUCACUGACUUUCAGAUACAUACAUCGAUAAAUAGUAUUUUCCUUAAAUCUAAAGGAAAUAAUGGUAUCAUUAAACCUCAAAUACCAUUGGCGGGAAGCUUGCUUUAAGACUAUAUAUUGAUUUCUUUAGUAUGCACACCAUGUGUUCAUUUCCUUCAACUGAGAACCCCAUUGGUUGGUCCAUACAAACAUUCUUCUCUAAAUCUCCAUUAAGAAAGGCAGUUUUCACAUCCAUCUGAUGUAGCUCCAAGUCAUAAUGGGCUAAUAAUGCCAUAAUAAUCCUAAAAGAAUCCUUUCGUGAGACGGGUGAAAAUGUCUCUUUAUAAUCAAUGUCAUCUUUCUGAGUAAAUCCCUUAGCAGCAAGUCUAGCCUUGUAACGUUCAAGGUUGCCAUGAGAGUCACGUUUAGUCUUGAAGACCCACUUACAACAAACUCUCUUACAACCCUUUGGUAAUUCUACAAGGUCCCAAACACCAUUAUGUUCCAUGGAAUCUAUCUCUUCUUUCAUGGCAUUUAACCACUUCUCAAAACUAUCACAACUUACAACUUUUGAAAACAAAACUGGAUCAUUAUCAUUAAUGCUUAAGUUUGUUUCUGUUUCAUGUAAGUAUACCAUAUAGUCAUUCGAAAUAGCUGGUCUUUUUUCUCUUUGAGACCUCCUUAAUGCACUUCUUGUGGUUCCUCCACAAUGGGUUCAUUAUGUAUCAUGGGCUCAUCAUUGUGUUGUGCUUCUUCAUUACUGUUUGUAGCAAUAACUGAAGUAGUAAUCACCUUACUGCUAGAGGCAAAAGCUAAAGGGACUUGCACUCUAACUUCUUUAAUUUCCACUUCUCGUGGAACUGUACUCUCACUGAUUUCACCAUUUUCAAUGAACAUUGCAUUUCCAGUUUCGACAAUUCUUAUACUAUGAUUAAGACAAUAAAAUAUAUACCCCUUUGACUUUUCUGGAUAACCCAUGAAAUAUCCACUGAUUGUUCUUGCAUCCAAUUUUCUUUCUUGCGGAUUCUAAAUUCUUAUUUCUGCCUGGCAACCCCAAACAUGCAGGUGCCUUAUACUAGGUGUUCUAUUUGUCCACAGUUCAAAAGAUGUCUUUGGAACUGCCUUACUAGGAACCCUAUUCAACAAAUACAUGGCAGUUUUCAAGGCAUACAUCCACAAAGAUAUGGGUAAAGGCUAUUUGAUUAACAUACUCCUAGCCAUAUCCAUUAAAGUUCUAUUACGCCUUUCUGAUACACCAUUUUGUUGUGGUGUACCAGGAAUUAUGUAUUGCACACAAAUGCACGUUUCUGAACAAGCUUAGCAAAUAGACCUGGGUGUUGCCCAGUUUCAUCAUAUCUUCGGUAAUACUUAUCACCUCUAUCAUAUCUAAUAAUUUUUACAUUUAUGUCUAAUUGCCAUUUUACUUCAUUGUAGUAAAUUUCUAAGGCAUCCAUUGCCUAAGAAAUCUCGGACAGUAAGUAGACAUAACCGUAACGUGAAUAAUCAUCAAUAAUGAUGAUAAAGUAUCAUUCCUUUCCGAAAGAACUAACAUCAAAAGGUCCACAAAUAUCAGUAUGCACAAUUUCAAGAAGUUGAGUGCUUCUUGUAACUCCUUUCUUUGUAUGUUUUGCUUGUUUUCCCUUAAUACAACCCACACAAAUAUUUAGAUCCGUAAAAUCUAGAUAAGAAAGAAUUUCAUUCUUUAUUAAUCUUUCCAUCAUUUCUCUAGAAACGUGACCUAAACGUUUAUGCCACAAGAAAGCAGAUCGUUCAUUCACUAAACUAUGUUUAGUGCCAACAUUAUGAUGCAGAGUUAAAACAGUUUCAGCAUACAAAGUGUCUAUUUCCAAUUUAUAUAAACCAUCACAAGAAUACCAGUACCAAUGAGAUGAUUAUGCUUAAAUAAAUUGAAACAUCCAUUACCAAAAUUAAAAGAGUAUGCAGUAACAUCAAGUUUAGAUAAUGAAACUAAAUUCCUAGAUAAACUAGGUACAUAAGGAGUUUCCAGUAAAUCUAAACGAUGUCUAGUGUUGCGUUUUAAACAAUAAGUCUCAACUAUUUCCACUGGAGCUUUCACUUCGUUCCCCAUGAAAAUGAAUUUCUCAUUUGGGCUUAUGGUUUGGAUUGUAAGGAAUCUCUGCAUAAUGUUAGAAACAUGAGUCAUACAUCCAGAAUUAAUCCAUCAUGUAUCAUGGGAAACUACAAUUAAGUUUGAUUCAAAACAUACAUGAGCAUUAAGCUCACCAUUCUUUUGGAAAUGUCUUAAUUUCACAAAAUUGACAAUUAUUGCCCUUUGACACCUUUCUUCUGGAUUUGCAAAGAGUCGUCAUUGUUCUUUAAUGACCCUUUGCCAUUAUCAUGCUUCUUCAUAAAUUUCUUUUCAAGCUUCUUGAUUCCCUUGGUGGCUAACAUAAUGGACUAAGUGACUUCCUUGAUCCUUAAGCCUCAUUUCUUCCUGAACUAACAUACUGUGCAAUUCAUGCACAUUCCAUUUAUCUUUCAUGGUAUUAUAGUUCAUUUAGAACAGGCCAAACUCAGACGGUAAUGAGUUUAGAAUAAACUGAAUAAGAAAGUUCUCAUUCACAACCAUUAUAUUCUCAAGGUCUUAAGUCUUACUGCAAUGUUUGUCAUCUCAAUGACAUGUUCAUACAUAGUACGUGAACCAUCAAACUUCAUGGUGGUCAAUGUACUCAUUAAUGUCCCAACAACAGACUUAUCAACUAUUUGAGAAUACUCUCCCACUAAUCCCAUAAACCUUUUAGCACUUUCGAUUUUAGGGAGAGUUGUCUUAAUACUGUCUGCAACAGUCAUUCUCAUCAACAUUAGGCUGAGUCGGUUAGAUCUUUCCCAAGUUUUAUAAUGAACUUUCUCUUCAUGGCUACUAACAAAAAUAAUAGUAACAAACUUCUCUUCCAACAUAGCAAGAUCAUGAUCCAAAACACCGAGGUGAAAUUGGACUUGCUCAUUUCAGUCAGAGAAGUUAAGCCCAUUAAAAUUGGCUCAGAUGAUACAUAAGAAUCCAAUGAAUUCAAAACAUGUAUUACAUAAUAAAAUGCACAUAAGUGUUUUGAGACAUAAAAUACAUGUCAUACAUAUGAUUCAUUCAGAUAACGGACAAUGUAUAUUGAUAUUCUCCUUUGGGUGAUACACCAACAUACAACAUACAAACAUAAUGAUACUAAUAAAAUUUCAACAUUAAUUGGCAAUUAAAUAUGCACCAAUUAGUAGUAUCUAUUUCCUUUGGGCAUAUAAAUAAAAUUAAUGAUACACACAAAUUGCCUACAAUUAUAUUCAUUAAUUAUAAGAACAACUAAUCAACCUUUGGGCGAUCCAUAAAUGCCUUAUAACAAUGAAUUUCAAUUACCCAUAAACCAAUAAUCAUAUAAUUUAGCAUCUAUUAUUCUAUGAGUAAUUGGAAUAAUAAUUAAGUUGGAAUUAAAUAACCUUACAAAUUUGGCCACUUUUGUGACUAAUAAAUUCAACAUACAUUUAAUUCCAACCAAAUAUUAUUGAAAUAAUCAUUAAUUUAGAAUUAAAUAACCUUACAAAUUUGGCCACUUUGGUGACUAACAAAUUCAACAUACAUUUAAUUCCAACCAAAUAUAUAUGGCCUGUACAUACUUAUUGCUAUUAACAAUUCAUAGUCAUUCUAUUAAUUUCGUUUCAGACCAUAAAAUAAUAUUUGUAUUUAUUUAUGUUUUUGCAUUCAAACACGUUCAAGCAAAUAUGUAGCAUAUACAUAUAUUUACUGCUAUCAAUAAUUUCAAAGCAUUCACGUUAAUUUAAUUACAAGAUAUAAACUUUCAAUCCUUCAAUUACAUUUAAUAAUAAUUUCCAGAAAAAAAACACAAGUGGGACUGGAAAUAGCAAAAUGGGUUGCAAAUAACAAUAUCCAAAAUUUCUAAUUCUCCUACCAGGUAGGUACGGGUAGGAGCGGCUUUUCAAUUGGAAUUGAAAGAAAGGUACAUAUAGCCACACAACUUUACAAAACCAAUUCACAACAUAGUGUGUCAUUCUUUCUCCAUAAUUUAAUAUAUAAAUAACGUUAAUGGAAAGACAACUUUCUCCAUUAGAAAUAAAAUUGGUAGCAGAAGCUUUCUCUUUGAAGUUUUGUAUAAUAUUUCUUUCAUACAAAAUUUCAUACUUUGCAGCGGAAAAACAUAAUUAAUGUCAAAAACACACUAUCCAAACAUGUACUUUAAUUGAAAAUACAUGUAAUAGAAAUUAAAAUUCCUAAAUUUCAUAAUUAGGUUUAAUGCAUAAUUUGAAGAAAUUAAAUUAUCCCUAAAUUUCAUAAUUAGGGUUCAUGCAUAAUUGGGAGAAAUUAAAUCAUUCUUGGAGAAUCAUAAAUUUCAUAACACAUGCUCUGAUACCACAUGUAAAAAUUCUUAAGGGGUUUCCUAGACCAUGAAUGAUAGGAAACAACAGGAUCUUGAAACCUAUGGUUCUCACAAACAAUCAAUAAACAACAAUAGAUAAUGAUGCGUACCUUUCUCCAUAGGAAGACUUGUACCUUUCUCCAUAGGAACUUCUCUCCAGUGCACUUUGAUUUCCUUGAAAGAGGAGAGAAAUAAGAUUUCACUUCCUUAGGCCUUUCUUUUCUGCCUCUCUCCGUUCGUGAUGACUAUGGGUGAAAGAGAACACUUUCUGGUCAGGAAGGGGACCUUAUUUCACGUUAGUGGGUAUUAACCCCCUUUUAUAACCAUUACUCCCAUCAAGUAGCAGUUAGCUCUAGAAACUUCUCCUAUUAAGCCCAAUUACAAUUUAGUCCUUAAUCAUUAAUUAUUUACUUAUUAGUCCUUACAUAAGUCACAUGUCUCUCACAUGAGACAUUAAUUCUUACAGAGCCACCUUUAGCAUAAGAGAACCCCACUCCAACUGGUGUAUCUAAAUACAACAUGUUUGUUUCUGCAUCACAAAGUAACUCUUAUCAUAUUGGAGCAAUUCUUGCAAAUAUAAUGGAAUGGUCAAUACCUCAAUGAAGUACCUUUGUUCCAAUUGUACUCAUUUUUAAUUAGAACUUCUCCAUUUCGUCUAAAAGGUUCAUUUUCAGAUAAUGCACUCACUCCAAUAGAAGAACAACCUGGUCCUGUAAACAGGAAUUCACUUAUAUAACAUUUUUCUAGGAAAUUUUAAAACCAUUUUCUUAAACUAAAUGGUCUAUAUUCUAUACUGAUUUUACAUUUUUUUAAUCCAAAGUCUUGGACUUAUUCUAAUUUUUGAGGCAAUGUUACAUAAAUAUAGUUGUAGCAAGUGAGAAAAUGCAGACCUCCAUUGAGCCAGAGAACAAGAGGCUUUGAAGCUGGAUCAAUUUCUGAUUCAGCAAAAUAGUAAAAGAGAGCCAUGUAUAUUUGGAUACACCUAAUUAUUGCCAUGUAUAUGAGAAAUUAUUAUAUAAUUUUUUGUCAACUUGCAAUUUUGACAUGGGUUCAGAGUUUGUCCAAAAACUCUUAAAAGUGAUAUCACUUCCUGGCUUAUUUUGCACUCUAAAAUAAGUUGUUCACUUUGGGGGAACUAGAUCUCAUAUGUGUAGAUAUGGUAAAAAGAGUAAAAUGAGAUCAAUUAUCACUAUAUGAUAAUAAUUAAGUACUAGCAUGUGUAAUUAUGGUAGGUUAGUCCAAGUGAAAUUACAUACAAGAAAGUCGUGUGACUUUUUUUCUUGUUUUAGGAUGUAUGUACUAAUGGUUGGUUAAUGGAUUCAAGAAAGUCGUGUGACUUUUUUUCUUUUUUUUUUUUCCAGUGACUAACACAUGUAUAUUUGCACAUACUGGUAGAACUUCCUUCAAUUAUCCUUCAACGUCCUGUUUUGUUGCUUCUAGAUUUUAUUUUUCUUACUUUGUUUUUCAUAAAUAUGUUGACUCUAAUUCAAUUGACAAAUUGAUGGCUAUUUGAAUUAACUUUUUAAUAUAGUAUGACAUUUGUUAUUUGUAAAUCUUUUGGUGGUUCAUCAGUAUUUUGUGACUCUACCUACUGUUUUAAGUAUGUACAUUUAGCUGAAUGUCGAUACUUCCUUGAUGUUUCUCAUGCGCAUACAUUGGUGCAGCUUUAUUGAACUUCGGAGGAUUAAGUAUUUAUGGUUUUACAUUUUAGGAGUUGAGAGAGAAAUCACUUUUCUCAGUUUAUAACUGAAGGCUUCACAUCUUACUACAAGAGAAAGAUAAGAGACAAGGUAUGUGACAAUAUAAUUGGUAGAAGUUAUUUUUGUUGUUUCAAGGAAAAACUUGUAGUUAUUGGGAUUUUAGGUUUGUGUUUGGAUAUGAUUACUUUAUUUCUCUCCCUUUUCAUUUGCUAAUGAUUGCGUGGAACUUUGUGGUGGAACUGGUCAGUUUUUAUUUUUUAUAUAUUUUUGGGAAAUUAUUUCUUAAACUGUUUAGAAUUUUAUACCAUUACCAUCAAAGCUGCAUGCUUGUCAAUAAUGUGGAUGUGGAUUUGCCUUAUAGAGGAAUUGGAAAAAAAAAACAUCUUGUUGUUCUAGACAAUAUUUUCAUAAUUAAAGGAAUUCUUAUUAUCCUUAUCCUAAUCCUUAUUUAGUCAAUUGAAUUAGUACCGCAGUGGGUUCUGAACAUGUCUUUGGUGUUCAAUUUAUGAGCUUAACAGCUUGUAAUUUUCUGCACUUAUUCCUAGAAAGUAAGCUUGUCCAUUAUAGAAUUAUAUAUGAAUGUACUUAGAAAAAAGGUCAAGUGUAUUAAUAGUUUGGUUAUAUUGUUUUAGUAGUAUUUUCAUUUGAAAUAGUUCUUUUGACAAGUCCCUUUAGUCUCUUGGUGUUUUGGUAUUUCUGUUUCUUAUUUUGCAAAUUAAAUUUUAUAUACUUAUCUUUUUUUAACCUAGAAAUUGUAGUUUCACAUAAACUUGUACUUGUUGGGUUUAUGAUGUCAACAAUCAUAAAAGAUGCUUAGAAAUUGUAGCAUUGGCUAUUUUUUGUUGGAUGGAUGUAUUAAAGGAUGCUUGUAAAUAGCCCCCGUCAUGUUCUUGAAAACAUGGUUUGUUGUAUUGAGUUGUCUCAAAGACUAGCAAUAGUCUCUCAAGUGUAGAGCUCAAUCAGUUCAUAGCAUUGACAAUUAUGGAAUUUAUUGUUGGAUGGAUGUGUUAAAGGAUGCAUGGAAAUAGCCUUUGUUGUGCUAAGCACCUGAAAUAUAGUUUUAGCUAUGUUACAUGGGGUUGUCUUAAAGACCGAAAGCCUAUAUGCUCUGCCCAAAUAGUACAUAGAAUUUAUUAAUGAAAAAAAAUUAUUUUAUUAAAAAAUUAUUUUAUUCAAAUAUAAAAUUUUAAAAAAGAAUGCAUUUGAUUAUUUUAUCAAAAUAAGAAAUUUUAAAAAUGAAGAAAUUCAAUUUUUUAUCCAAACAUAAAAUUUUGAAAAUGAAAAAAAUUUAAUUUUUUAUCCAAACAGAAUUUUAAAAAUAAAAAAAUUUAAAUUAAGCAUUUGAAAUUUUCAUAAUUUAAAAUUCUUUAAUCCAAACACAUUCUUAGAGUAAUCUCAUAGGGAUUAAAUAAUAUAAUGUCAUAUACAUAAUAUUUUUAUCCAGCCUCAUCUAACUUAUGGCAUGUUACAAAAUUAAGAUAACUUUCCUUUGAAAAUAUUAAUUUUAUAUAAUUUAUUAUAGAGUGAUUUUAGAGUAAUCUCAUAGGAAUUAAAUAAUCUGAGUUUUAAAUAGUUUUACUAUCUUUUGUUUAUUUUCAAGCAAAAAAAUUAGGAAAGAUAUAAUGACAAAUUAAGGAACCUUAUAGCCUCGUGAAUCAAUAAAUUUGAAUUAAAGAUGAUAUUUGAAGAAAAAUCCUUAAUUAAAUAAUUCAACUUUUAAAUAAUUUUACUAUAAUUUGUUUAUUUUUAAACAAAAAAAUUGGGAUAGAUUUAAUUACAAAAUUAGGCCAGCAAUUUUUAUCUGUAUAAAAUUAUAAAAACAACCAAUUUAUUCCUCUAGCUUUUUAAAAUAUUUUUAUACUCUUAAAAACUAAAACUCAAAAGUUUCUUUCAUAUUAAAAUAGAAAUGAAACUUAUUACAUAGAAAAUGGAUAAAUCAGUUCUUUCUAAAGGAACCAUCAGUGAAACCAACAAAAGAGGAAGACCUAUUUAAACAUUUUUUAAAAUAUAUGACAUUGUCUUUGCACUUUUCCACUCCAAACUUAACAAUAAAUCUCUCUUGAAGCUUGUUUGCUUGCAACAUAUAUGCAACAUAUAUGCCAUCCACGUCCAUUAAGUUUGAUAAUCUGAUUGAGGGGCAAAGGGAACUAAUCAAUUUUUAACACGCAUCAGAAACCUGUUCCUGUUAAAAAAUAUAUCAUAGUUAACUAAAUUUUCUCAUUAAGUCCAUAAAAGUCACAUUUUUUUAGAGCUAGACGAUAAAUGUACUUUGUUAUCAUGUUUUGUUACUCACACUUUAAGCAAAUUUAAAGCAGGAUAUGUGAGUUUCAUCACGUGUGGAAUUUCAGAAAAAAAUCUUGUGAAAAAUGAAUAGGCAUAAUUAUUUCACCCUGAAAAUAUAAAACACUUUAGUUUCAAAGAAAAAAAAUAGGAUAUUUGAUAGAGCAUACAUUAUAGUUUUUUUUUUCAUACAUUAUAGUUUCAUUUUUGCAUACAUUUGACAUGUUUUUUUGACAUGUUUUAUGAUGGUUUUUAACCUUUUAAAUUGAGUUUUGUGAGGUCGGGCAUCAUUGGGCCUAAGUGUCAUGUUUUCUUAAUUUUUUGCAAUUUUUCUCCUCUCGGCACUGUUUGAGUGUCCAGGGCAUAAGUCUCUACUCCGAGCUCCAAUAGAGAUGGUUUUGGUCUUGCUAGAAAGAUAAGACGAAACUCUGCAAUUGUCUCUUUUACAAGAUUGAGUUGAUUCAAAGGUUUAAGGGGUCAAAAUGGAUCUACAAAGUCUCGAUCCUGCACUUGGAUUUUCUGGGCAUAUUUUGUGUUUAGUGACCCAUUAGUGUUUUUAAUGAGUGAAUUUUGUUUCCAUGUUGAAUGACCCACGAAUUUCACUCUCUCUUUUGUCAUAAAUAUCUUUACUCCUUUGUAAAAACACAACACUUUACAUUAUGUUAAACAAGUGGCCUUAAUAACUUAAAAAAGGAUAAAUUAAGUUUUAAAAUUUUCCCCUAACAAAUUUUAAUUCUCUCUUUAACAGAUAUAUGCAGACUUAAUAUAUAGAAAAAGAAACAAUAAAUAAUUUAUUUGAUGUUCUUUAAAUGUGCAAAAUAAAAUUAAACUCAAUAAUGUAAAUGAAAUUAGGGAAGAGAGAAUUGUAAACUCAAUUUAUACUAGUUUGACCACUUCUUGUGUCUACGUCCAGUCCUCAAUUAAUUCACUUGAAAUUUUCACUAUCUUUAUAAAUUUCUUUACAACUUCUGAAUCACCUAGGAAUACUUUUCCCUUGUGUUCAGAAAAACUUACAAAUCAAGAGACCCACAUACUCUUGAUUACAACAACAGUUUGCUUUUGAAGUACAAAAGUUUUUUUCUCUCUUUAAGAGAAGAAUAAUACAACUUAAAGAACUUAGAAUAAUCUUUAAUUGAUUUGCAAAUAUUUGGCCAAAGGUUUGCUUUUGAGAGAAUAAGAUAAUGAAGUUCUGAAAAAUUCUGAAAGAUUUUCGAACACAAAUCACAUAUUUAUAGACUUUUUGUGACUUUUCAAACUCUUAUAAAAGGAUGUGACUUUUCAGAGUUAUUUUAAAAUUUUCUCACUGAUAAUCGAUUACACAGUUAAUUAUUGAAGAGUUAUAUUUUUUCAGUUUGAAUUUUAAAAAAAAAUCUGUUACUAAUAAUCAAUUACAACCUUUAAAAAUUCAAAUUCAAACUUUUUGAAACAGCUUUGUAAAAUCAAUUUUUGCUUCUGGUAAUCGAUUACAACUUCUAGUAAUUGAUUACCAGAGAGAAAUAUACUAUUUUAAAAGGUGUAAAAACACUUAAAAAAUUUAUAAGAAAUUUUGAAAAUUUAAUCAUUUAAGGUUAAACCUUUGCAAUCUUUUAAGAGAUUCUUUUAAUAAAUAAUGGAUUAUCGCGAAUCCUUUCUCUUGACUUGAACUUGUAGUAAACUUUGAAUUGCUUCAAUGUUUGGCAUCAUCAAAACCUUCAUACAUCAUACGCAAUCACACAUUACACUCUCAUUUUAAUUUCAUAUUAAGUUUUUGUGCUCUCUUCUCUUCCCUUUUUCCCCUUUCUUAUCUUUUCUUAUUUUACUGAAUCAAACCCUCCCAUGAAUAUUUUCAUGGAUAGCUAAUCUCCUUUCAAUCCAAGGGUCACAAGGCUAUCGUAAAUUUGAGUUCUUCCCUGCUUUAAUUAUCGUUUCACUUAAUAUUAAUCUAUUUAUUUAUUUCAGAACCUUAUUGCUCGGUCAAUUUUUUUUAUUAUAGUAAUCCUUUUUUCAAAUUUUUUCAGUGUCUUACGGAAGUAAUCAAUUUUGUAAAUAUUACUGUAGAUUGAUUUCAUGUUUGCUACAGUUGAAACUUCUUAAAUUUUAUUUUAUUAUAUAUAUAUAUAUAUAUAUAUAUAUAUAUAUAUAUAUAUAACAUUAAUCUUAUUCUAAUUACUAAUUAGCCGUAAUAAUAUAUUUAAAUGCAACACUAUUGCCGCUAUGCCCAACUUAAUGAAGUAACCCAACAAACUUCUUAUUCAUAUAACACCAAAAGUAGUCCAUUUAUAAGCAGAGAUUGAUGAUUCAAAUUUACAUAUUUAUGAUAGACCAACCAAACACUAAGCAACCAUACUUCAAACACUCGCAACAAAUAUCCUAGAACAUUUGAAUUUGCAAAUUCGAGCCAUGAUCACUUUAUUAAACACAACACGUAAUUCUUAUUAUUUGUUGAUACAUAUAUUACAGUUAUCUCUGCUUCAAGGUUAUAAAUCUUGACCUCACUUGCAGUUGCAUGGGUCGCAGGUGCAGCUUGAUCCACAGUUGCAGCCACCGUUCUCAGCUGCAACACCCAUUUCAGCACCCUCCAAUUGGGCCUUCACAGACCCAACACCCAAAACAAGAGUCUCUGUGGUUGUCUUCUCAACAUAGCUCAAGUCAAAAGAGUACUUGUUGCAACUGAAACACAAGAAAAAUCAACAAACGUAAGGUUCGUGAAAACAUGUGGGAAAACAAAAAAGGUAUCCAAGAAAUAUAUAUAAAAAAAAACUGAAAGUAGCAAUUUUGUUUUUUGAACAAUUUUAUGAAGAACAUUCCAAAGAAAAAGUAAUCAAAAUAACAAAGAGAAUAGUUCUACCCUCUUAAUUACUGAUGUUGAAAAAAGAAUAAAGCCUCGAAUUUCAUAAAUUUCAACCAAAAUAGGCACCCACAAAGCGAAUCAAACUACGUACCCAAAAAAUAUAGGAAAAUUGUAUAUCCCUAGAAACCCAUGUAUCUAGGUAGGAAGACAAAAGCAUCUUUUUUUUUGGUCGGCGGAAAACAAAGCAUCUAAUUUCAUAAAAUAAAGGAUACUAAAAAAUCCAAUCAAAAUAGUCAUAGCAAAUCCUAUCCCUUAGAAACUUGUGCAAUAAGAAAAAUUAAUAAGAUUCACACGAAAAUCCCAUUAACAGAUUUGAAAGUCAUGUUAAAAUUAAUUUCCAAUACUAAUCAAUAGUUUUAAAGGUUAAUCAAGCAAGCAUAUUAGAAAAGAAGAAGCAUCUAUACCCGCAGUUGCUGCCACAGUUGCAGCUACUUCCACACCCACAGCUAGACAUUCUCAAAAUCUUGGAAUUAAAUCACACACUAAAGUACUGAAGAACAAACAAAAGAUGAUUGAUUACUACACUCAGUGGAAUGAGUUUCAACUAAUCGUAACCCGAAUUUAUAAUGAGUUGAUGAGAUUGUUUGAAAUCUUGAACGUCCACGUGUCACAAUCAUGUGUAAUUAGAAGCAUAAACUAUACUAUGAAUUUUUCCACGUCGACCUCGUUUUCAUCACUCGUCAUUCUAAUUUUUGUGGUGUCCAUUAGUGAUCGUUACAUUUCAUGUUCUUCGAAGUAAACGUAACAAUGAUAUUUUGGAUUUGUUUUUAUUAAAAAUCUUAUAUAAUUUUAUACUCCCUCCAUCCCUAACAAGACUUUUUCAAUUAACAAUACAUAUAUCCCUUAAAAAAAACAGAAUUAAUUUGAUUAAUUAUAUUAAAUAUGUCAAUUAUUUAUCCAAUCAUUCUUAAAUUAUUCUUUUCUUAUCUUUUAAUUUACUUAAUUAUUUUUCUUUAAUAUUUGAAAAAAGAAUAUUCUUUUCUUAUCUUUUAAAGCACUUUAUUAUUUUUCUUUAAUAUUUGAAAAGUAUUAAAAAAAGAAUAAUUAAUGAUACAUUAAAAAUUAAUUAAUAUAUCUAAAAAUUAAAAAAGAAGUCUUUAAAAAGAGACAAAAUUUCUUAAAAAGUUAUAAUUACGAAUUGAGAGAGUAAAUUACAUAUAAUAUUUUAAAUAUAGACCAAUAGAACAUGUAUCAAAAUUAUUUAUCUGUCAGUCACAAUUCUUCCAAACCUUGUACCAAUAAUACAAUUAUGAAACAACUAGAUUAAUUAAUUUGCAAACUUUACAAGUUUCAACCUUCGGUUGAUGUGGAGUAGUUACCCAAAACGCGUCAUCAGCUACCCAUCAUCGCAGUUUAAAAUUGAUGCACUGUCAUCAAAAGCUACUAUUGCCUUAAUGUUUGGGAUUACCCACCAUCUCCGAAUUUAACUCUGGUAUCACUCACUGACAUACAGGACUCAGUUUCCUGAGUUUUUAUCUUCUGAUUUUUCUCAUUCAAGUUAAUUUUUUAUGUCUUUAUCAACACUGCCACUAUUAAUCCUUUGCCUUCUGAUCUGGUUAGAUUUUACAUGAACAUGACUCAGCUCUUUUCCAACUCUGUUCUGUCUUCGGUGCUUAUUCUUAUUCUUGUGAUUGUGGUGUCUAGAUGCAUAGGCUCUUAUUUGAUGUUGUAUACCAUAAUCCCAUUAUAGAAAAACAAGACAAAAACGAAUAGCAAUUUUCCAAAUACAUAUUUCAAGGCCAGUUAGGGAAAAACAUAUCCUGAAAAUUCUGUCCGUGGAGAAAAUCCAUAAAGUAAAAUUAAAACUAUAGCAGCACUAAAUUAAAAUAACAAAUAGCCAAUUGUUGAUAUAAAUAUCAAAGGCAUAAACUACUUCAGUGUACAGAAGUGACGGGUAAAAGAAUGCAAAAUCAUGGACUGAUACCUUUGCUCAGAAGAAGCAAUUAUAUUAUAUCAUAAGAAAUUUUCAUAUGUCCAGACAUAUUUUUAUGCAACUGCAUCAUUGCAAAAGUAUCAAAUACAUAUUUGGAAGCAGUUUCCUGGUUUGAAAUACAAAAACACUACCUGCCAGAAUAAAAAUAAUAAAAAAAACACCACCAAUCACAUAAAAUAUAAUCUCAGAGAAAUUCCAAAUUUGGAAGUGGCAGACAAUCAACAUGGCAUCAGUUCAGUCCGCCCGUCUGCAUUUCUUCAUCAUAGAGAAGUUGAACAAUUAUGCCAAAUCAGAUACAUUUUUUUCAAACCCCAAAAUAAACACACACAAUCACUCAGAGAUAGAACAACCAAAAGACAAAAAAGUAAGUUAAGACUUGGAAGGCAUCAGAUAAUAAGCGGAGUUUUUAAUCUUCACUGUAUAAAUUCAGUGUGUAGGAUAAGAAAUUUUAACAUCAUUUGCCAACCCUUUUACCACUAUAGUAAGGUUCACUACAGAACGAAGCAAUCAAAAACAAAACAUAAAACCAAAAUAAAAGUUAAAUGGCGUCAGAUAAGUGGAGUUUGAUGUCAUCACAGCUUUUCAGUAUAUCAAUAAGCGGUUUAACAAUAAAUCAUCACUUGCCAAUUCACUCUACACAUACAAAUAACACAAUUGCAUUAAAAACUUAUAUAUUUGGGGAUUUCGGUAGGUCCAUUUGACCCAUGGCAAAUUUCAAAAUCGGUGCAAUGGGCUGGUAAGUCAACCUUUAUGGAUCUUUGCAUCAGUUAUAUCUCCACUGCCAUCGACAUUGGACACAGAUAGAGAGGGUAAAACAGAUGCAGUGCAUAAACCAUGAACAAAAUCAAUCAAAUUUUGUGAAAUCAAACCAUCAACAACAAAAUUUGUUUACAUAAUGGGAAUAAUAAAAAAAUAUUAUUCAACUUCAGAGAAUCAAAAUGAAAUUGGGAAUCAAAACCGGAGAAUGGUCUUCAUUUUCGUCCCAUGUGGCCUUCAAACAUAUACCUAAAUUAAAGAAUCAUUUAAAUGAAGUUAGCAGGGUAAACACAUUUGCUCACAAAAAACAACCCAAAACUCAACUUUGAAAUUCACAUGCAACAUUUGCCAAAAGUUACUAUUAUUGUGUUUGGAUAGCUAGGAAUCAAUUCUAUAUCCAAAAAAAUGGUGAAAAGUUGAAAAGGUACAAGUAACUAUCCUUGUUUUGGGGAUUGUAAGAAGGAAAAAAAAAAGCUUACUCCAAUUAGAAGAAAAUAGAGAAAAAUUAUAGCUGCUUGAAAUUUGAAGGAACCACGAAAGAGAAGGUCCCUCCAAUCGUGAAUCAAUAGCCGGAUUCUGUUUUGGCACCAUGCAAAAGGUUGUUUGUUUAGAGAGGAAAAAAAACAACAAACACCCGUGUCUGACUUAAGUGCCAACAAUUCACAAAAUUAUUAUUAAUGAUAACAAUAAUUUGACCAGAAAUUGUGUCUUGAAACAGAAGGGUUUGAUUUCAAGGAUCUUCAACUGGUUCUUUCGUUUUGGCUCUAAGCGGCAGUCAGGUGGCCAUUGAAACAAGCCCCUGCUGUUGACUCUUAUAAUAGAGCCUUCAUCAAUAUUAUUACGAUUAAACCCUAACCCUAAACCCUAACCCUAAACCCUACACCCUAACAAAAACGAACUACAGUAACACACGAAUGUAAGAAAGAACAGAAACUCACCUCACCAAAAGAAAACAACAACGCCAAAUGCCAUCAGAGAGGCUGAUGCCUAAUUACCUUACUAUGAUGCAAUAUAUAUACUUGUGCUGGAAACCCUAAUCUGUAGUUUCGGCCGCCAAAUUACCCAAACACCGUUCAAGAUAUCCAAACCAAUUUGGGCCUGCUACGUUUUCGGGGGGAAAUGCUAGGUGCACCCAGCAACAUUGCUGGUGCACCCAGCAAUUAGGUGAAUGGGCAAAAUUGCCCUUGCAUUAAAAAAAAUAAUUUCUUCUUCCGGAAGAAGGUUCUUCUGGAAAUCUUCCGGAAGAAGGUUCUUCCGGAAAUUUUCCGGAAGAACCUUCUUCCGGAAGAACAAUUUGUGUUCUACCGGAAGAACCUUUUUCCGGAAGAACCUUCUUCCGGAAGCUUUCCGAAAGAAGGUUCUUCCAAAAGAACAAAUUGUUGUUCUUUCGGAAGAAGGUUCUUCCGGAAAGUUUCCAGAAGAAGGUUCUUCCGGUAGAACAAUUUAUUCUUCCGAAAGAAGGUUCUUCCGAAUGAACAAUUUGUUUUACCGGAAGAACCUUCUUCCGAAUAAGUUACCGGAAGAACUUCUUCCGGUAACUUCUCCAGAAGAAGGUUCUUCUGAUAGAAUAAAUUGUUCUACCAGAAGAACCUUCUUCCGAAAGAAGGAAUUAUUUUUUUAAUACAAGAACAAUUUUGUCCAUUCACCUAAUUGUUGGGUGCAUCAACAAUGUUGCUGGGUGCACCUAGCAUGUCCCGUUUUCGGGCCUUCAGUUUCGAUUCUAUGUUUGUUCUUUUUUUUUAUUUAUAGACCUCUCUUUUUCUAUUUCCACCGGCCAUGUUUUUUAAAAUCACUAGAAACUAGUGCCUGACCAAAGUGUGUUGAUUUUUUAGCCUUUCUUAAAUCAAUACCAAUAUAUAUA
This 79394-nucleotide long non-coding RNA is filed under the name Glycine max (soybean). RNAcentral describes it as "long non-coding RNA (GMAX_LNC003151)". The record is from RNAcentral. Lineage: Eukaryota; Viridiplantae; Streptophyta; Magnoliopsida; Fabales; Fabaceae.